RNAcentral lists this long non-coding RNA (47630 nucleotides) under Gossypium barbadense (sea-island cotton). Its description in RNAcentral is "long non-coding RNA (GBAR_LNC019623)". The record is from RNAcentral. Lineage: Eukaryota; Viridiplantae; Streptophyta; Magnoliopsida; Malvales; Malvaceae.
AAGCUCGGCCGCCUACUUAUCUCUGGCACGUUUGUCCUAACACCACCACUUUCCCCAGAAACAGCACCUACCAAGCCAACCGUGAUACCCUCUUAACUUCGCUAUCGUCUAAUGGCAGCCGUGGUAAUGGUUUCUAUAACACAACCGCAGGCAGAAACCCUGACACGGUUUACGGUCUUUUCCUCUGCCGUGGGGAUCUUUCUACCAGCGUUUGUCAAGCGUGUGUCACCUUCGCCUCUACUGACAUUUCCCGACGUUGUCCUGUUGAAAUAGCAGCGGUGGUUUGGUACGACGAGUGCCUCCUACGAUACUCGGACGAAAAUAUAUUUUCCGCCGUGGCUGAAGAACCUGCAAUUAUCUUGUUCAACACUCAGAACAUCAGUGACCAAGUCCGUUUCGACAGCCAAGUUCAAGAAGUGAUGAGUGGUACAGCAACCCAAGCCGCAAACGCAGCACCAGGUACUAAAAAAUUCGCGACUAGAGAGGCAGAUGCCAAUUUUACAUCGAGUUUUCGAACACUAUAUGCCCUUGCUCAGUGUACACCGGAUUUGCCAACCUCCGAUUGCGACAGAUGCCUGCGAUACGUAACUGGAAACCUUCCAAGAGGAAGCCAAAGAGGAAGAGUGUUGAGUCCUAGCUGCAACGUCAGAUAUGAAGUUUACUUGUUCUAUAAUCUAAAUCAAACAGCAGUUGCAUCUCCUCCACCUCCUCUAGUUCCAGGUUUAUCCUUACUAUUCAUUCAUAAUUUUGGGUUAGAUCAUUAAAAAGAUAAAGCUAGAGGAAAUAGAUUUUUAAUCUAAUAGUCUACCACCUAGACACCCUUUUUGACUCUAUUAACGGUAUAUAUCAUGGCUUCAGAAGGGAAUGGCCGAAGAUCAUGGUCAAUAAUUAUUGCCAUUGUUGCUCCAAUUGCUGCCUUCAUUUUGCUUUUCAUACUGACUUGUUGGCUGUUAAAGAGGGGAACAAGGAAGUACAAUGCUACCCACGGAGAAAACGGUAAAGGGAAUGAUUAAGCUUGUGCUUCUUUUGAGCCAUUUUAUUUCCUUGUCUUUCACAAAAAAAUUUGUCACCCCUUCGCCAUUUGAUUGUUUAGCAGGAUAUGACAUAACCACUAUAGAAUCAUUGAAGUAUGAUUUUACCACAAUUGAAGCUGCAACAGACAAGUUUUCAGAUGCCAACAAGCUAGGCAAAGGAGGUUUUGGUGAGGUUUACAAGGUACUUGGUCAUUUUGUUCAUACAGAGUCCAAUCAAUUUGAUAAAAAACUUGGUCUAAAUACGCAUUUUAAUGACUGGUUAUUAAUUUGUAUAUGCUUAGGGUAUCCUACCCAACAAACAAGAAAUAGCUGUUAAGAGGUUAUCAAGAGGUUCAGGACAAGGCACUGAGGAAUUUGAAAAUGAGGUCGUAUUGAUAGCCAAGCUUCAACACAGAAAUCUAGUCAGCGUAUUGGGCUUUUGCCUGGAAAGAGGUGAAAAGAUACUUGUCUACGAAUAUGUUCCCAACAAGAGCCUUGACUAUUUUAUUUUUGGUAUUUUUCACAUACUUUGCAAUGACCUUUUUGAGAAUUUGCAUUUGCUUUAAGGUUGGUUUUUAAACACAAUUUUUUGUUUUUGUUUAGAUCGUGCGGAGGAAGGACAAUUGGAUUGGUCGAGACGAUACAAGAUAAUUGGAAGAAUUGCUCGUGGAAUUCUUUAUUUGCACGAGGAUUCUAGACUUAGAAUCAUUCACCGUGAUCUCAAGGCCAGCAAUAUAUUAUUAGAUGGAGACAUGACCCCCCAAAUAUCGGAUUUUGGCAUGGCAAGAAUUUUUGGAAUUGAUCAAACUCAAGGAACCACUAGAAAGAUUGUUGGAACCUAGUAAGCCCUGACUUUGUUCAGCCUAAUUGUUGAAUGUUCUAAUACCUCCAUUACCUUGAAAUUGUUAUUCGUUCGACAGCGGCUAUAUGUCUCCAGAAUAUGCAAUGCAUGGGCAAUUUUCGAUGAAAUCGGAUGUGUAUAGCUUUGGUGUUUUAGUUCUAGAAAUCAUAAGUGGCCUAAGGAACAGAGAUUUCUAUGAAACAGAUGGUGCUGAGGACCUCAUUAGCUACGUGCGUAUAAUUCUUUUGGCCUUUUUUGUUCAAAUAUCCUUUAUAUAGAACUUAUUGAAUCUUUGAUGAACCAAUGCAGGCUUGGAAACUAUGGAAGGAUGAAAGACCCUUAGAAUUGUUGAACCCUGUUCUGAGGAAUGAUUACUCGAGAAAUGAAGUCACCAAAUGCAUCCAACUCGGAUUAUUAUGUGUUCAGGAAGAUCCAGCUGACCGGCCAACGAUGGCUACCAUUGUUCUAAAGCUUAAUAGGCACUCUGCCAAACUACCAAUGCCUAAACAACCAGCAUUUGUCUUUGAUAGUAGAACAGAUGGGAGGAUGCCAGACAAGGGGCUUGAAUCGGACCAAUCUACUACUCAAUCAAUGCCGUCGUCUAUCAAUGAGGUAUCUAUUACGGAAUUAUACCCUCGGUAAUGUGAGCUAAUGGAUGCAUCAUCAUCCUCAACCUCAAGGUAGAUAGCUAUCUACCGACGUUGAUCAACAAGUAAAAUUUUAAAUAAAGUGAUAAUUUAUUUAAAAUCAAUUUUAUAAAAUUAUAAUGUAAACAUGGAUGAUUAUUUCCUUAGCUAGAAUAAUAUAAUAUAAUAUAAUAUAAUAUAAUAUAAUAUAAUAUUAUUAGGAUAUGGUGUCGAUAAUGUAAAAAGGAGUGUCAUGACCCAACCUAGGUCACUGGCCUCAUUUGGAUUUUUAUGUAAUUCUUAUGUAUGUGAAAACGAAUCGUUUUCUAUUUUCUCUGCAAUUAAUCUUCUCAUUUAUUAGUCUUUAUGACCAAACUUAUUUCUAUGGAAAAAUGUAAUUUCAUAUAGAAAUCUUCUUUUGCAUUCAAAAACCGAAGAAUACACAUGUUCAUUUUUGUUUUCAUGACAAAGUGGAAAGUUUUGCUUAUCAAGAAAAAAAACAAUGAAGAAAUAUUCUUCUUUUUUUUUUUUUGUCAAAAUUACUGUCCAUAGUCGUGUUGCAAAGUUGUGGCUGACUAGUGUAGUUUCCUGGACCAUAAACUGCUUUAUCAUAUUUAUGAGAUUUCGAUCAAUUAAUAACAGAAGACGAUAUAGAAAAUUUAAAAAAAAAAAAACCAAGACCAUGACGUAAAACUCUCUGUUAUUACACGUAUGCACGAGAAAAACACACACUGAAAGUGCUUGCCUACUACAAACCAAAAACCCCUUCAAGUGGAACAAAUUAGAUUACUCAGUACUACUGCAAUCGGAUUACUCGAGUGUUUCGACCCACCGAGAUUCAUGGCCAACUGGCUCAUUGAGUAUUCGUUUUUGACCCUACUCUUUUAAGUUCUUAGCUUCCAAUUUGAUUGAGAUUUCUAGUCUUCCUUGUAGACUAAUACAAUCCAAAAAUUCGACUCAAAUUUUUCAGUAAAGGAUCAACGAAUUUUCUGUAAUGGCGAAAAGUAUUUCCCUUUAUACAACAACCCAUAUUAUAAUUUAUAAAUCUGGUAUCUCUUGUCUUAUAAUCCAAGCUAAAACAAGGUGAUGACUUUUAUAAACUUGUUGCUGUUAGGAAUAGUACUUUCCUUGCUUACCCCUGCAAUUGAAGCUCAGCAGCCUACUUAUCUGUACCACGAUUGUCCAAACACCACCACUUUCACCGUAAUCAGCACUUACCAAGCCAACCGCAAUACCGUCUUAUCAUCGCUGUCGUCUAAUAGCACCCGUGGUUAGGAGUGUUCAUUCGGUUAACCGACCCGAAAUUACUAUAACCGAAUUAACCGACCUUCCAAAAAUUUUAACCGUUAACCGAACCGAUUUUUUUAAAAAAAAUUAACCGAACCGAAAUUUUUUCGGUUAAUAAGGUCGGUUAACCGAAUUAACCGAAAAUUAUGUAUUUUUUAUUUUUGGUUAAAAAUUACCCGAAUUACCCGAAUUAACCGAAUUACCGAAAAAUACUCGAAUUACCCAAAAUUUUUUAUUUUUUAUUUUUAAAAUUUAAAAAAAUUAUAAAUUAUUAAAGUAAAUUGGGUUUUAGACUUUAGUAAAUUGGGUUGUCUUUUAGUUUUAGUUUUAUUGGAUUGGGUAAUUGAGUAAACUUUAGUUUUAGUUUUAUUGGGUUGGGUAAUUGGGUUGGGUAAUUGAGUUUGGGCUGGGUUGGAUAAUUUUAUUUAUUAAUUUUUUCGGUUAACCGAAAAAUUUCGGUUAACCGACCAAUUUUGAACCGAAUUAACCGUUAACCGAAAAAUCAUAAAAAAAUUAACCGACCCCCGACCGAAAAAAUUCGGUUAACCGACCGAUUAACCGAAUUCGGUCGGUUAACCGAAUUUUUUCGGUUUUACCCGAAUUAUGCACACCCCUACCCGUGGUGAUGGUUUCUACAACACAACCGCAGGCAGGAGCCCUGACAUGGUAUACGGUCUUUUCCAUUGCCGUGGGGAUCUUUCUACCAGCGACUGCCAAGCGUGUGUCACCUUUGCCACCACCGAUAUUUCCCAACGUUGUCCCAACCAAACAACGGCGGUGGCUUGGUACGACGAGUGCCUCCUACGGUACUCGAAUCGAAAUAUCUUCUCCGUUGUCGAAGACCGACCCGCAGUUAGAUUGAGUAACCAUCGGAAUGCAACUGGGACAGAAAUCCCUUUCGACCAGCUAGUGGCCACCACAGUUGUUAUGAACAUGAACGAUAUAACAACCCAAACGGAAAAUAAACCCGCAGGUUCUAAAAAAUUUGCGACAAGAGAGACCAAACUUUCAAGUUCUCGAACACUGUACACGCUCGCCCAGUGUACACCGGACUUAUCAGGCAGUGACUGCAGUAUAUGUCUGCAAGGAGCACUAGAACUUCUUCCAACUGGAUGGCUAGGCGGAAGAUUGUUGAGUCCUAGCUGCAACGUCAGAUAUGAAAUUUACCCCUUCUAUAAUCCAACGAUAGUUUCGCCUCAACCUCCUCCUGCAGCAGGUUUAUCCUCACUGUUAAUUGAUAAAUUUGAUCCUUUCCUUUUUCCUUUUUUAUAGUUCUCGACAAAAAGAAAACAAGAUUCACUACAUUCUCUUUUCUUUUUUCUGGUCGGUAAUUUGUAAAUUAAUAUAUAGGUAAAGAACAAUCCCCUGUUUUCAUAAGGAUUAUAAUGAACUGAAUUGAGGAUAUCUAAUUCUGCUCUUAUUUAAUCAGAAGAAGAGAAACAAAACAAAUCAAACCGGAUUCCAGUACUUGUUGCAAGUUUAUCAGCAAUUUUUGGGCUGGCUGUGGUUUUUAUCUAUGGUUUCUUCAUCCGGAGGAGGAGAAACAGUCGAGGUACAUAUCGGAGUGAUCUUUCUGGCAAGUAUUGUAACUUCUUUUUAUAUUCUUAUGCUGAUCAUAUUAUGAUUUUAUUACAGACGAAGAAAACAGCCAAGAAGUUCAAUUACUUGACUUGGUAAAUGAGCACUCAAGGGAAACUUUUAACGGAGAAAAUGGGGAGAGAUCUCAGGAGUUUCCUUCUAAACAGUUGGAUGUUUUACAUGCAGCGACAAAUCACUUUUCUGAUGAAAAUAAGCUGGGACAGGGUGGAUUUGGUCCUGUAUUCAAAGUAAUUAUAUAACUUGAAACUUUUAUCUGAGUUGGCUUUAGAACUGAUCUAUGCGAAUUAAGUAUGUGAAUACUCCUGCAUUUGAAUUUUGAUAUGCUAUGUAAAUGAAUGAAUUCUUCCAGGGAACAUUAGCAAAUGGUAAAGAAAUUGCAGUUAAAAGGCUGUCAGAAACUUCCAGUCAAGGGCUUGUUGAAGUCAAGAAUGAAAUCAUGUUAAUUGCUAAAUUACAACAUAGAAAUCUUGUGAGGCUCUUAGGAUGUUGCUUAGAGAAAAGUGAGAAGUUGCUUGUAUAUGAAUUCAUGCCCAACAAAAGCCUGGACGUUUUCCUAUUCGGUUUGAUUCUUGAACCUUUAACUAAUAAGAAAAAAAAACAUGAAACAAUUAAUGAAAAUGUGCUCAUUUGUUUUUUUUUUCCUUUUUUUCCACAUUUAUAUCAGAUUCGAAAUUAGCUGCUCAACUGGAUUGGCAGAAACGAUUCAAUAUUAUUAAAGGAAUUGCUCGAGGUAUUUUGUAUCUACACGAAGAUUCAAGUCUAAAAAUUAUACACAGGGAUCUUAAAGCAAGUAAUGUUCUACUCGAUCAUGAGAUGAAUCCGAAAAUUUUUAAUUUUGGUAUGGCAAGAAUUUUUGAAGAUCAAAACGAAGCAAAUACCAAUAGAGUCGUUGGAACAUAGUAAGUAUGCCUAUUUUCAUGACACAUUCCUUUACAGUGCGAGGCUUAUGGGAAUAUUGUUAUUUAAUUAUUUUCUUUCUUUAUAAAAUUUUUUAUGAUAUCAUCCAAUUUUAUUUUAAUAAAUUGUCUCUUUGUUUCUUAUGAAUUAAAAUAGUGGAUAUAUGGCACCAGAAUAUGCUAUGGAAGGACUCUUUUCUAUCAAAUAUGAUGUUUUCAGCUUUGGAGUCCUUUUAUUGGAGAUUAUUAGUGGAAAAAAGAACAAUGGUUUUCAUCAUUUAGAGCAUGGUGAAAGCUUGUUGACUUUUGUAUGUUCUUUACCCUCCCUUUUGUUCUCAAACUAUAGAUUAAAUGUUUUAACUAUUCUACUAAUAAUUUUAAGCUACAAUUGUAGGCAUGGAAAUUAUGGUCCAAGGGCGAAGGAAUGGAGCUAAUAGAUCAGGUCCUUGUUCCUUCAUGUGUGGCUUCUGAGGUGCUUAAAUGCAUUCAUAUUGGGCUAUUAUGUGUGCAAGAAGACCCGGCAGACAGACCAACCAUGUCAUCUGUGAUUUUCAUGUUGGCAAGUGAUAGUACCAUAACACUUCUUUGUCCAUCUGAACCAGCAUUUUUCGUUGGGCGUGCAAUUGCAAAGCCAACUGAACCUAUUUCAGAUGAUGGAGUCUUUUCGGUUAAUGAGGUCACAAUUUCAAAUUUCUCACCUCGCUAAUUUGAUUGUUGUACUAACAAUACUAGUUUAUCAAAAACCUUUCAUUUUUAUUUUCCAGUCUGAAUUAACAACUAUGAAUACUAAAGCCAUGAUUUUUAAGAACUUGAAGAUGAAACUAGAUAUACAUAUAUAUGAAUUUCAAAUUGAAUAUGAAGUUGGUGAUAAAUCAAUUUAAGAAAAUUAAUUUUUUACUCAAAUUUUUUAAUGUAUCGAAGCACCUAAGAAAGUUGAAAAUUAUAUGGAUUUAUACUUUCUAAAGCAUAUAUAAUUUAGCUACUCUUUGCGAUUUGCACAAGGAAACAAACAUAUAGCAGGGAAGAGUGUAAUUUUUAUACUCUUGUAAUGAUGAAGGAGUUGCAAUAAUUUAUUUCAUUAGUUUACACUUAAUCUGGAAUUCAACUCCAAUAAAAGGAUCCAAUUAACUUCCAAAGACUAGUCUUGCAUCUAGAAAUUAAGAGUUUGGAUACGUGUUACCUUGUGCAAAGUGUCGCUACUUUGUGCAAGUUUCUCAUAUGCUCAGUUUAGAUUAAUUUAAAUUAUAUGAAAAAUUAUAACUGUGUUUGACAAAAGUACAAAUUUAUAUGACUUAUGUUACCCCGACAACAAUAUAAUAUUUCAUUACUCGAACCUGACAUUGAAUCAAGAAAUAAAGGGUUACAUUUAGUAAUAUCAGUAACCAAGUCAAUGGAAUGCUUUCACUGUCCCUAACAUGGUCAUGUAGCCAACUGCCACAUUGAAUAUUAUUUUUUGUUCACUUCUGCCCCAUCCAUUCAUUGGGAGGCCCUAAACAAAAUACAGCAAGAAUAGUUCAACAUGCGUAAUUUAAUGUUUUUAGUCAUAUUGACAAAGAAUUGACUGACUUGUGUAGCUUCCUCGAACAUAAGCUGCUUUAUCAUCUUCAUCUUGGGAGAACGGGUCAACAAAAUACAGCCACCUUCGACAAUUGAACUUUUAAUUUGUAAGUGAAUUCCUUAAAGAAACAGGCAACGGAAAUUUCAAGAACAAUAUUGUUUCACUUCUUUUUUUCAGGUUUAACAUUUACAUACCUCGUUAUUCUCACCAUUUCCUUCGACCCUUAUUUCCAGCGUUAUUGGGCGAACAUCAUCGGCAACUACACCGCCAAUAGUGCCUACGAGCUUGACCUGGAUAGCAUCUUCAAGGAGAUCACCUCUAUAACAAAAUCCAAUUAUGGGUUUUACAGCAACAAGGUCGGCGAAGUCAACGCCAUGGCACUUUGCAGAGCAGAUGUUAAGCUAGAUGUUUGCUCUAGUUGUUUAUACGAAAAUAUCUAAUUAUUAUUAAAAAAAAAAGUUAACAAUUCAAGUCUAAUUAUUUUGAACUUGAAUUGACACAUGGAAUAGAUUUAAACUUAAAAUGACUCAAACAAAUCAUUUAAAAUUACUAAAGUCUAAAAAGAUCAAAACUCGAUCCAAAUUUAUAAUGACAAAUUUAGAAGGCUAAUACCUCAACCCUAAAUAAUUCAAAAUCCUAAUUAAUUCUAAUUGAAAUAAUCUAAAAUUUUUAAAAUUAGACUACGUGCAGGCUUGCUUAUUACAGUCAUUGAAUACAUGUCAUUUAUUGGUAACCAAGUCAAUGGAGUGCUUUCAUUGACCCGAACAUGGUCAUGUAACUAACUGCCACAUUGAAUAAUUAUUUAUCAUUUACUUCCGUUCCAUCGAUUCAUUGCGGACCCAGCUCUCCUUGUAGACCAAUUUACACAACAAAACUGCUUUAUCAUCUUCGUAUUGUUAGAACCAGUCAACAAAAUACAGCCACCUUCAACAAUUAAACGUUUAAUUUGUAAGUGAAUUCCCUAGAGAAAAUGGCAACGGAAAUUUCAAGAACAGUACUGUUUCACUUCUUGUUUUCAGGUUUAACAUUUACAUUCCUCGCUACUUUUGCCAUUUCCUUUGACCCUUAUUUCCUGCAUUCUUGUGCAAACAACAUCGGAAACUACACCGCCAAUAGUGCUUACGAGCGUGACCUCAAUACCAUCUUCAAACAGAUCACCUCUAUUACAAAAUCGAAUUAUGGAUUUUACAGCAAGAAAGUCGGCGAAGUCAGCGCCAUGGCACUUUGCAGAGCAGAUGUUAAGCUAGAUGUUUGCACUGGUUGUUUAAGUGAAACUAUAUCAAGGGUCAAGCUGGAUUGUCCUAACAACAAAGAAGCCAUCGGAUGGUCUGCGGAUUGCACGUUACGGUACUCGAACACAAACCUCUCCGAGAAGUUGGAAAUUAAUCCUCAAACCUGUCUAUAUAAUACAGGAUCUACGGUUGAUGAGUACUUCCAGCUCAGACUCGGAGAAUUGUUGAGUGACCUGCGUAAUAAAGCAGCAUCAGGGGGUGCUCUUCUUAAAUAUGCAGCAGGUAACUCGUCGCUCAGGGCUUCGGAAAGGUUAUACGCUCUAGUGCAGUGCACUCCUGAUUUGUCUGAGGGAGACUGCAAUCAUUGUCUUGAUAAGGCGGCAACCAACGGGAUUCUGCGGUGUUGCCUUAAGCAGAGGGGAUGCCGGGUUCUUAGUCCUAGCUGUAACUUGAGGUUCGAAACAUAUCCCUUUGUUGAAGCCGGAGUGGAGUUUCCACCACCCCCGUCACCCUCGGGCGAUCGGCAAAAAGAAGGUACGACAAUUUUCCUUCCACUGUCACUUCUUCCAACCACCUGUUAGCACAGCUUCACUUUGGAGGCACUAUAUUAGCCUAUCACUCUUGUUGAAUCGAGAAAAUCUGAUUCUGCCCUUAUAUAAUUAGAAGAGGAACCAAACAAAUCAAAAAGGACGCCAGUACUUGUUGCAAGUUUAUCAGUGAUAUUUGGGGUAGCUGUGGUUUCUAUCUCAGGUUUCUUAAUCUGGAAGAGGAGAAACAAUCAAGGUAUGCAGUGGCAAACAUUACAAAUUUGUUUUGUAUUGUUAUAUUGAUCACUUUCUUACUUUCUUCUUUUAUUAAUUUCAGAUACAGAGUACAGAGAAAUUCAAUUACUUGACUUGGUAGAGGGAAGAAUUGAUAUGUGAGAAUCAAGUUUGUAACGUUAGGUAUAAUUAAUAAAUGAAUUCUUUCGGGGAACACUAGCGGAUGGUAAACAACUGCAGUUAAAAGGCUAUCAAGAACCUCCGAUCAAAAGCUUGUUGAGUUCAAAAAUGAAAUCAUGUGCUUUUUUCCUUCUUUUUUUCCCUACUAAGCUACAAUUUUAGGUAUGGAAGCUCUUAUCUGAAUACAGCUAAUAGAUAAGUUCCUUACUCCGUCGAGUGUAAUUUUUGAGGUGCUUAAAUGCAUUUUGGGUUAUUGUACAUGCAAGAAAAUCUGCUACUCAGUCUAAUCAAAUCAUCUCUUAUUGUCAUGUUCGCAACCGAUACCGUAAAACUUUCUCGUGCAAUUAAACCAACAUCCUUUUUGGGCAUAUCAUUGCGGAAUCAAUCAAACACAUUUCAAAUGAUGAAUUUUUUUAUUAUUAUUAAAAAUUUUCACCUCGCUGAUUUGAUCACUAUUUUAAUUUUAAGAUUAUAUAUUUGAAUGUAAAAAUUAGUAUAAAGCCGAUAACUAAUCAAUUUAUGAAUAUUAUUUUUAAUGUGUGGAAGCACCUUAAUUAGUAAACAAAGUUCAAACUUGCAUCAAAUUAUACUCCCAAAAAUAUACAAAAUUUAGCUACCCUUUCUUCUUUCAAUCCGCUCUGCUGGACUUGUAUUAGGGAUGAGCAAAACUUGAUUUAAUUUGAAAAAAUAAAAAAAUUUCAAAUUUCGAAUUAAUCGAAUCGAGUUAUUCGAGUUAUUCAAUUUUUUUGAGUCAAGUUAAAUAAGUAGUUUGAGUUUCAAGUUCAAGUCGAGUUGAAUUUUAUAAUUCGAAUAACUAGAAUAAUUUAAUAACAUUUUGGUAUAACUGCUCCUUUAGUCCCCGUCAAGUUUAAAAAUGAGCAAAUCAGUCUCUCUCUUAACAAAAAUUACAAAAAUUUCAAAAUAAUUUUUAAAAUUCAAAACAUUUAUAAAAAUUUCAAACUUUAUAUUUUUUUAAAGAAUUGUAAAAAAAAUUUGUAAAAAAAUUCUAAAUAAUAUAUAAAGAAAGUUACAAUUUUGAAAUUUUCUAAAAUAAUAAUUUUAGGGACUUAAAUAAUUUAAUUAAUCAUUCAAGUUUAUCAUAGUAAAAUAUCUUUUCUUUUUUCUUUUUUUUCUUUAAAUUUUUUUAAAUAUAUACAGUUUCAAAUUUACGUGCUCAAACAUGAUAUUAGUUAUAUUGUAAUAAUAUUUUAAUUUGACAUGAUUAAUUUUUUAAUUUAGCUCGAACAAUUUCACUCGAUUUGACUCGACCUAAAUUUCAUUUCACGCGACUCGAUUUAAAAAAAUUCAAAUCAUAUUAAGAUGAUAAAAUAGGACUUCUCAACUUGAUUAACUCAAAAUUUUUUCACUUCAUUUGAUUGAACCUUCUUCCUUAUUUACGUCGCAAUUAGAAAACAUAUAGUAGCAAGGAAGAGUUCAAUUUUUAUACGAAAAAUAAAAUUUCAAAAAGUUACAUGUGCUUUUUUUAUAAAUAUACUCUAAAAAGGGUUAAUCUAAAUUAUAAAAUCUAAAAAUUUAUUUGAUAAUGGAUCCAAUAAUGAAUAAUUUCUCUACCACCGAAUUGAACAUUGCAUUUCAGUUUUAAAAUCUAUUCUAAUCAAAGAAACCAAAUUAACUUGACUUUGAAGAAAUCAAGCCAAGUCCUACACCAUAAAUAGGCAGUCUGAUAAUUGGGUAUAUAUGCACUAAAGAUAACCAAGAAAAAUGAGACACGUUCCUACCAUGUCCUUUCAAAAUGUCUUUAAAUUCUACCCGUAUAUUUUUCCACAACUUGCAUCGCCAUUUUAUGAGAGAUCCAUCAAUUACAGACAAAAACAUAAAGGAACCCAAAGGCCAAGUCUUAUAAACUUGUCGUUAUUAGCUGUACCAGAAAAAACAACCUUGUUUGUCUAAUACAAUUCCAACUUGCAUGUUUUGUAUCCUCAUAUUCUAAUUUCUGUAGAGGAUUUUUUAUGGAAAAAAGGAAUUUUAUAAGUGAAACGGAAUGCAACAAAAGACGAUGAAAAGGAAGAUUAGAAUAGAUAUUUCAUAACAUAGAUGAUAGCUUAUAAGGUGGAGAAAAAUUACUAAGUGUGGCUGUAGGUACAAGGGUAAUAAAGUUGCACAUUAAAUAGGAGUAAUAAGAGGCAUUUUUACUAAUAAAGAAUUUAGGUCUUGUAUAAUAGUGAAUAAUCCAUUUUAAAAAAAAAAUGGAAGAUGUAUUUAAUGUUACAAGAAAAGGUUAACAUGUAACAUUUAACUAUUGAUAGAAGUUCUUGUGCUUUAAGUUUCUUUGUUGAAGAUAUAUGGAUUGACUUAUUACACCAACCUAAGUUCUCCAAAAUUUCAAAAUGGUAAAGAUAAUCGAAGAAUCUUAUCAUAUUCUUGUCGAGUAAUAUUUUAUCAUGUCUUAUUGAUAAGAGUGUUCGAGUAUUUAUACAUGUUGUUACAAAAGCUAUUACAGCUCAUGAUAGGGCCCCACUAUUUUAACUUGACUCAACUGCCUCUAGUACUGAUACUUUCUAUCCCUAGUACUGACAUUCUUUGUAAGCUCCAGGUUUGUUGGGCACGUGUCUAUGGAGCACACGAUCCUUUCUGUUCCUGGGACUAACAUUCUAGGCGGGCUCCGUACCUACUGGACUCGUGCCUAGGUGGCCUACGGAGCACACGGCCCUUUCUGCGAGCUCCCUAAGUCCUCGCGAGUUGGAUCUGUGGCCUUGCGUUACAAGAUGGGUCCUUGGCUUUGCCUUGCGAGUUGAGUUCACGAGCUCGUUCUGCGAGCAGGGUGAGCUAACUCCCCUUGCUAUCCUCUCGUGGCUCGCUUCGCACCCAAUCUUUUGGUGGGACCUAUCCGGGUCACAGGUAGGUGACCCAGAUCCUAUCUAGGACUCAGGUUGAUGAUCACCAAUGUAUAACAAUUCUAAUGUUAUUUUCAUAACUAUUUUAAUUAAGUAGUAUAAUGUGAAACAUUUUUUGCAUAUCAUCUCUUAGAACAUGAGUUGUUUUUGUAAAAGAUUUGUUCUUAAAUAAGGUUGUUUUCAAAUAAGAAUUGUUCUAAUAUAUUCUGAUCAUGAAUUUUCUCAAUUAAUUAUUAUUGACAGGUUGUUCCUAACAAUAGGUGUUUUGAAUAUAAUUAUUCUUAAAUUUCAAUUAUUCUAAAUAAGAGUUGUUUUAAAUAUUAAUUAUUCUUAACAAGAGCUAUUCUCAAACAAUUACUAUUAUAGGCAUCAACAGUUGUGAACAUAAUAGUUAUUCUAGAGCAACGGUUGAUUUGAGUGGUGAUUAUUCUAAACAAAAGUUACUCUUCAGAUAAAAAUAUUUAAAAAGAAAACAAUAGAAGUGAUUAGAAUAUAUUUAUCUCGAAGUUGAAUUUAUGUGAAUCAAACCUACUCAAACCUUAAACAACUUAAACUCAAUAUGACUCCAAUGAGUAACUUAAAAAUACUAAAAUCUCAACGAAUAAACCUAAAAUGAUCCGAACCCAUAUUAAUGAAAUCCAAAAUUAAUCCUAAACAAAUAAUUUAAAAUUUUUAACUGGAAGCAACAGAACCUGACAGAUCUACCUCAAAGUAAAACUCAUUUCAAAGUGAGACAAAUUAGAUUAUUACUUGCAGUCUUGCAUACUACAGUCCUUAUAUAUAUAUGUCAGAUGUUUUAGGUAAUCUGUGACAAUGGAGUUCUUUCACUGUCUUGGACGUAGAUGUAGCCAACUGCCACAUUGAAUAGUAUUUCACUUCCAUCCUCAUCUGGACCCAAACUCGUCAUCUUUGUAGACUAAGGCUUAGUUUGGAUAGGCGGUGUGUUUACCUCCAGUGAGGUUAAAAACAGCGGUGGCGGUGAGAUUAGUUACUGUAGCAGUGAGAUUGGAUAUUGUAGCGGUGAGAUUAAAAACAAUGGUGGAGUGUGUGUUUGGAUUCAAACGCAGCUAUAGCGGUGAGAUAAGAAUAAAAAAUGACUAUUAAUGACAUCAGAUUAGAAUUGAUAUAUAAUAGAAGUUUUUAAAUUAUUUUACUUUUUUAAAAUUAUUAAAAUAUGUGAAUUUAUAAAUUAAAUUAAUAAAAUAUUAAAAUGUAUCUUCCAAUAUUUUAAUGAAUUAUAUAAUUAAUUUAAAUUAUUUAUUAGACAAAAUGAUAAUUAUUUUUAAUUUUUUAAAGUUAAAUAUUUUUUAUAACAAUGAUAAAUAUUAUUUUCAUAAAUAGUAACAUUAUACUUAGAUCAAAUUUUGAAGUAUCUAAAUAGAUGAUUUUUAAUUAAAAAAAUAUAAUAACAUAAGACAUAACAAGUUUCAUUAUUACUAGAAAUUUUUAAUUAUAAAUAAUUUAAAAUAAUAAAUAAUUUUUAAUUUUUAAUUAUAAAAAAUACUUAUUAAAUUUAAUAUGAAGAUUGUAUAUAUUAAAUUAAUAAUAUUAUUUGAAAUUCUUAAAUAGAAAAUUAGAUGUAAAAGGAUAAAAGAAAAAGUAAAAAGCAUGGAUGAAAAGGUACUUUCCAUCUUUCAAAUGGAGUUGCAAAUUCUCACUGCAUGUAGAACCUCCAGUGGCGCCACUGAUACUACAGCAUGAUGAGAAGACUCCAGUGCGGCAAUGGGUAAAAUCCAAACACCAAUAUCAGUGCGAUUGAUUUCAAAAAAAUGGUCUAAACGCACUGAAACGGGAGAUUUUUUGUAUCCAAAGAUAGCCUAAGGCUCCCUUUGGUUUGGCUUUUACAGCCAAUGAGGUGCAGUUGGGGAGAAAAAAUGGUGCCAAUCUCACUGCUAUGCUGUUUGGUUCAGCAAGUCAGUGCAGUGAGAUUGCAUCUCCACCACACUGCUCAGCUGAAAAUCAGCUGGUGAUUUCAGCAGCAAUGAAGGUGCAGUGAGCUAUUGGUACUUUAACUCUCCAAAAAUACCCUUACUUUAACUCUCCAUAUCUUCCCUCCUCCUACCAUGCUUCUCCUUCUUCAAUUUGUGCAACCAGUUCACUUCACAAAGCUACAGGUAAGUCAUUCAUCUGCUGCUGCAACUUCUGCUGCUGCAACUUCUGCCAUUUUCAACCAUGUUUGGUUGUGGUUGUGGUAGUGGACUUUUGUGGACUUUUCAACCAUUUUCAACUUCUGCCACUACCAAUCUUCUGCAACUUAUGCCAUUUCUCUGUAACAAAGGUGCACCGGAAACUUGAAGAAGAUGAUAGAUGGAUAGAACAAGAGAUAUAUAAUCGAUAUAAUAGAUGGACAGAACAAGAUGAUAGAUGGACAGUGUUAGAAUUGUGUGACCCAAAUUCUAAGAGAUUGCUUGCAAGUCAAGUUAAACAAAAAUAUAUUUUCUUUCUAGAAGAUUUAGUAUUUAUUAGUAUAAUAUAUUUAGCAUUUAUUAGUAUAGUUUAUUUGACUUACUAAUUUAGCCUAUAAAUAGGCUCUUUUACAAUCUUAGAAAUGAGACACACCCAUUAGAUUAGAACUCAUAACACAUUCAGAGAAUUUUGUGUUUACGUUUUCGGGUUCUUUGUUUUUCGGAUUUUCGAGUUUAGUUUUUAUCUCCAUCUUUUGUACUCUUCAUUCUUUUGCCAUUAUAGUAAAAUUAUCUUUGCCCGUGGUUUUUUAUCCUCUUUGGAGGGGUUUUUCCACGUUAAAUUUGUGUGUUCAUCUUCUCAAUUUCUUCUGUUAUUUGUACUUGUUUGUUGCUUAAUCGGGACGAUCCUAACAGACAGAAACCUGAAGAAGAUGAUAGAUGAAGAUGAUAGAGGUGUUAACUUUGCAAUACAACUACAACAUUUCUAUGAUGGGUUGGAUGGACAGAACAAGCGACAAUUUGAUUUUAUAGCUAGAGGGAGUAUUUGGUUAAAAAUAGGAAGAUAAAUAAUCGAUAUAUUGGAAAAUGUCAGCAAGAAUGAGCUUACAUGGGGCAUAAACCAAGAGAUAUAAAACGCUAACCUAGCAGAAUGUACACUCCAAAAGUAAACAUCUUAUAACCUGGAAUUAGGAACAUUAGAUUUUGUUGAGCCUAAUAAAGAUGAACCAGAGGAGGAAAGUAUGAAUAAUGCAGAACAAGAGAAAAACGAGCUAGCCUUUCAACUUGACUGGUGGUGUAAAAGUAAAGAAUAUCCAAAACAGGUAAUUCCAACCAUAACUAAAAUGGUUCCUUUUAUUAUUAAAACACCUAAAUUGGAAUUGAAACCACUGCUUGAACACUUGAAGUAUGAGAUGUUUGGGAGAAAAGAACACCUUGCCAGUAAUUACAUACAAGGAGUAUGUAAAAAUAACUUUUUCAAAAAAUAUUAAUAAAUAAUUUAAAUUAAUUAUAUAAUUUAUUAAAAUAUUAGAAGAUAUAUUUCAAUAUUUUAUUAAAUGAAUUUAUAAAUUCACAUAUUUUAAUAAUUAAAAAAAAGUAAAAUAAUUUUAAAAACUUCUAUUAUAUAUCAAUUCUAAUAUGAUGUCUUUAAUAGCAAUUUCUUAUCCUCAACUCACCGCUACAGUGCGUUUGAAUCUAAACACACACUCUACCAUUGUUUCUAAUUUCAUCGCUACAGCAUCCAAUCUCACCGCUACAGUAAUUAAUCUCACUGCCACCGCUGUUUUUAACCUCACCGGAGCUAAACACACCGCCCAUCCAAACUAAGCCUAAAUCAUAUACGCAAACAAUCCAAAAAUCUAUUGACUUGACUCAUAUUUUUUAUUAAGGAUCAGAUAAUCUUCUACGAUGGACCAAAACUUUAUCCCUUACUAAAAGCACCCAUAUCAUAAAUUUCAUAAUAUAGCUGAGCUCUCUCGUCUUAUGAUCCAAACAAGGAGGUAAAGCCAAAAAAAAAAAGAAAUGCAGAGCUCCACAGUUUUCAUAACCCUGUGGCUGUUAUUAAUAGUCUUUUCCGUGCUUAGCCCUGAAACUGAAGCUCAGCCGCCCACUUAUCGCUACCACGUUUGUCCUAACACCACCACUUUCCUCAUAAAUAGCACUUACCAAGCCAACCGUGAUACCCUCUUAACUUCUCUAUCGUCUAAUGGCAGCCGUGGUAAUGGUUUCUACAACACAACUUCAGGCAGAAACCCCGACACGGUUUACGGUCUUUUCCUCUGCCGUGGGGAUCUUUCUACCAGCGUUUGUCAAGCGUGUGUCACCUUCGCCUCUACAGACAUUUCCCGACGUUGUCCUGUUGAAAUAGCAGCGGUGGUUUGGUACGACGAGUGCCUCCUACGAUACUCGGACGAAAAUAUAUUUUCCGCCGUGGCUGAAGAACCUGCAAUUGUAUUGUUUAAUACUAAGAAUGCAACUGGGACAGAAAUCCCUUUCGACCAGCUAGUGGCUGCCACAGUUGUUAUGAACAUGAACGAUAUAACAACCCAAACGGAAAAUAAACCCGCAGGUUCUAAAAAAUUUGCGACAAGAGAGACCAAACUUUCAAGUUUUCAAACACUGUACACGCUCGCCCAGUGUACACCGGACUUAUCAGGCAGUGGUUGCAGUAGAUGUCUGCAAGGAGCACGAGAAAAUCUUCCAAAUGGAUGGCAAGGCGGAAGAGUGUUGAGUCCUAGCUGCAACGUCAGAUAUGAAACUUACCCCUUCUAUAAUCUAGCGGCUGUUUCACCUCAACCUCCUCCAGCACCAGGUUUAUCCUCACUGUUAAUUGAUAAAUUUGAUUCUUUCCUUUUUCCUUUUUUAUAGUUCAUGAAAAAAAGAAAACAAGAUUCACUACAUUCUCUUUUCUUUUUUCUUUUUGGUCGGUAAUUUGUAAAUUAAUAUAUAGGUAAAGAACAAGCCCCUGUUUUCAUGAGGAUUAGAAUGAACUGAAUUGAGAAUAUCUAAUUCUGCUCUUAUUUAAUUAGAAGAAGAGAAACAAAACAAAUCAAACCGGAUUCCAGUACUUGUUGCAAGUUUAUCAGCAAUUUUUGGGCUGGCUGUGGUUUUUAUCUCUGCUUUCUUCAUCUGGAGGAGGAGAAACAGUAGAGGUACACAUCGGAGUGAUCUUUCUGGCAAGUAUUAUAACUUCUUUUUAUAUUCUUAUGCUGAUCAUAUUAUGAUUUUAUUACAGACGAAGAAAACAGCCAAGAAGUUCAAUUACUUGGCUUGGUAAAUGAGCACUCAAGGGAAACUUUUAACGGAGAAAAUGGGGAGAGAUCUCAGGAGUUUCCUUCUAUACGGUUGGAUGUUUUACAUGCAGCUACAAAUCACUUUUUUGAUGAAAAUAAGCUGGGACAGGGUGGAUUUGGUCCUGUAUACAAAGUUAUUAUAUAACUUGAAACUUUUAUGUGAGUUGGCUUUAGAACUGAUGUAUGCGAAUUAAGUAUGUGAAUACUCCUGCAUUUGAAUUUUGAUAUGCUAUGUAAAUGAAUGAAUUCUUCCAGGGAACAUUAGCAGAUGGUAAAGAAAUUGCAGUUAAAAGGCUGUCAGAAACUUCCAGUCAAGGGCUUGUUGAAUUCAAGAAUGAAAUCAUGUUAAUUGCUAAACUACAACAUAGAAAUCUUGUGAGGCUCUUAGGAUGUUGCUUAGAGAAAAAUGAGAAGUUGCUUGUAUAUGAAUUCAUGCCCAACAAAAGCCUGGACGUUUUCCUAUUCGGUUUGAUUCUUGAACCUUUAACUAAUAAGAAAAAAAACAUGAAACAAUUAAUGAAAAUGUACUCAUUUGUUUAUUUUUUAUUCUUUUUUUCCACAUUUAUAUCAGAUUCGAAAUUAGCUGCUCAACUGGAUUGGCAGAAACGAUUCAACAUUAUUAAAGGAAUUGCUCGAGGUAUUUUAUAUCUACAUGAAGAUUCUCGUCUAAAAAUUAUACAUAGAGACCUUAAAGCAAGUAAUGUUCUACUCGAUCAUGAGAUGAAUCCAAAAAUUUCUGAUUUUGGUAUGGCAAGAAUUUUUGAAGAUAAAAACGAAGCAAAUACCAAUAGAGUCGUUGGAACAUAGUAAGUAUGCAUAUUUUCAUGACACAUUCCUUUACAGUGAGAGGCUUAUGGGAAUAUUUUUAUUUAAUUAUUUUCUUUGUUUAUAAAAUUUUCUAUGAUAUCAUCUAAUUUUAUUUUAAUAAAUUGUCUCUUUAUUUCUUAUGAAUUAAAAUAGUGGAUAUAUGGCACCAGAAUAUGCUAUGGAAGGACUCUUUUCUAUCAAAUCUGAUGUUUUCAGUUUUGGAGUCCUUUUGUUGGAGAUUAUUAGUGGACAAAAGAACAAUGGUUUUCAUCAUUUAGAGCAUGGUGAAAGCUUGUUGACUUUUGUAUGUUCUUUAUCCUCCCUUUUGUCCUCAAACUAUAGAUUAAAUGUUUUAACCAUUCUACGAAUAAUUUUAAGCUACAAUUGUAGGCAUGGAAAUUAUGGUCCAAGGGCGAAGGAAUGGAGCUAAUAGAUCAGGUCCUUGUUCCUUCAUGUGUGGCUUUUGAGGUGCUUAAAUGCAUUCAUAUCGGGCUAUUAUGUGUGCAAGAAGACCCGGCAGAUAGACCAACCAUGUCAUCUGUGAUUUUCAUGUUGGCAAGUGAUAGUACCAUAACACUUCUUUGUCCAUCUGAACCAGCAUUUUCCGUUGGGCGUGCAAUUACAAAACCAGCUGAACCUAUUUCAGAUGAUGGAGUCUUUUCGGUUAAUGAGGUCACAAUUUCAAAUUUCUCACCUCGCUAAUUUGAUUGUUGUACUAACAAUACUAGUUUAUCAAAAAACUUUCAUUUUUAUUUCCCAGUCUAAAUUAACAACUAUGAAUACUAAAGCCAUGAUUUGUAAGAACUUGAACCUGAAACUAUAUAUACAUAUAUUUGAAUUUUAAAUUGAGUAUCAAGUUGGUGAUAAAUCAAUUUAAGAAUAUUAAUUUUUUACUCAAAAUUUUUAAUGUAUCGUGUCGAAACCACUUUUUGAAACAAAAAUUUAGUUGUCCGACUUUGAAAAUGAAAAUGGGAGUCGCCACCGAUCAUUUAUUGAGGUGUGAUCGGCUCACCUUGAAAAUGAUUUUGGUCUGCAAAUUUUGAGAAAACAGGUUCGGGAGUCGAUUACGCACGAGGAAAUGUUAGCACCCUCGUAACGCCCAAAAUUGGUACCUAAUUGAUUGUUUAAUGUCUUAGUGUCGAAAAUUUGAAAAGAUUUUAAAAUACGAUUCUUUUAACUUGAAUAAAUUGAAUAAUAAAACACUCUUAUUUCAAAUAAAUAAAAUGUCACACCCAGUGAGUUAGGGCGCAGCAUUUUUAAUCUUUUGACUUUUAAAACUCAUGCAUGUUGAGAAGGAUAUUUGGUUGUUUGGGUCAAAUAAAAAAUCAAAAUCCAGUAAGUUAGGGUUCAAUUUCCCAAAAUUCCUAAAUACCGCAUAUUGCUUUUAUUUUUAGAAGAAUCCUCAUCUCGAGAAAACAACAUGUCAUAUCCAAUGCGUUAGAACACAACGUAUCGAAUUCCCGAGAAUGAGCUUUUUUUAUUUAUGUGUUUUGAUUAAAGCAUAUCCUCGAUUAUUUAGAUUCAACGAGGAAAAUUAGAACCCAAUACAUUAGGGCUCAAUCUUCUCGAAGAUCCCAAAUGGCGAGUAUUACGUUAUCAUGAAAGUUUUGAAUAAAAUGAUUUUAAUAUUUAAAUGAAACAUAAUCUUAAAAUACAUGCAAAUGAACUCGAAUAAUCUAUCAACACAAACGAAAUGAUAUAAUGUACACGAUAUUACAUAAAAAAAAUUAAAAAGAAGUAAUAACUAACGUGAAGAUUUGAAAUAUUUAAAAAUAAAACUUGAGAUGAAUACUACAUGAAAUAAUAUUUAAAUGAAUUUUAAAAUGAAUAUUGCAUGAAAAGAAAACCAAAAUACGUGAAACGAUAUAUACACGUUAAUUUAGAUAAAUGUUACAUAUGGAUUGGAAGAUUUCCUACAAUGAUAUAUGUAUAUUAAUAUGUAUAAAAAAAUUGAUGUAAAUCAAGUAUAUAAUAGGAUAAUGUUUUAAAUGAAGCAAAUUAUGUAUGUAAUAAGUAGAGGAUAUGUAAAUGUGAAAUCGAUGAUAUGUUAAUAAUCAAAGAUAAUUUAAUACAAAUUAUAAAUUUAUAUAUGUAUUAAAAUAACAUUAUAUAAAAACAUUAUUGGUUUUUAAAGCAUAAAAAUAUGCAUACAUAAAAAUUUUAGAGCAGAUAUAUUAUAAAAAUAAAUCAUAAAAAAUAUCUGGAUAAUAUUAGAUUAACAUAGAAAUAUAUAUAUAUAUUAGAUAAGAAAAGAAUUAAAAUAACUUUGUAUAAUAAAAUAAAAUAUUGUACAUAUGUAGAAAUAAAUAAACAUGUAAACUAACAUAAUAGUAAUACCAAUAAUAAUAACAGUAACUAAGAAACUUAAAUAAUUUUAUAGCGACAAUAACAAAACAAAGGACUUAAUUGACAUUAAAACAGUAAUUCAGAGAGGAAAUCUAAAAUAAAUAAAAGGUUGGGACCAAAUUACAAAGCACGAAUAACAUGGGGGAUCAGAAUAAGAAAUAUCCUGUCUCCCAAAACGCUUCAUAGCAUAAUGGACCCAGAUGAAAUCAACAACAAAUUGUGUUGCUCAAAAUUAAAGAAAUUCAAAAGACCGAAUUGAAAUACAACACAAAAUGAGGACUUGGUUCCCAAUUACCCCUCCCCACACCAAACACGCGGAUCUAGCCGCAGUUGGACCGAGUCAUCAGGUAUAGCUCAAUACGACACCGUUUUGGUGCCAUCGAAGCAAGGCACAAACGGUGCCGUUUCAAUAAUAUGUAUUAAACAAAGAAAACUAAACCUAAGCAACCCUAAAGCCAUCCCUUCUGCGCCGCAUCAAAAAUCGAAAGCCCCCCAUCCAUUCAACUCCAAUCCGAACGGAGGGAUUCGGUGACGCACCAACCCCAAGUAUGAGUUCUUCCUUUUCUUUUCUAUUUUUCGUAUCAAAGAAAGAAAGAAGAAAAAAAAAGUGCAGUAGAAAGACGUAAAAAAAUGGUAAAUCACCUUCUUUGAUUUUUUUUAUUCAGUAUGUCUGUAUUCCAUCGUAAAAAAGGAGACCCUCAGUACAUCAAGAAAUCAGGCUUUUAUAGCCUAAAAAAAUGAAAAAAAACUCUAUUUUCUAUUUUCUUUUUCCCUUUCUUUUUUUCUGUUAUCUUUCCCUUUUUCUGUUAUUUGCUUUUCUUUGUUGUUGCUUGUGUGCGUUCGUUGCAAGUACAGCUGGCCUGGAGAAGACACGCGUGGAGGAGUCGGAGACUACUGGCACACGCGCGGACGAACCUAGUUUCCUAGUGCGGCUGCUGGAGCUGAAAGCUGUUGAAGGCUAGGGUUUCAAUUUGAAUCGGGCCAUGUAAACUGGGUUAGAGUAUUUUGGGCUCGGGUUUGAUGUAAUUUGGGUUAUCAGGCUUACAGCGUGUUUGGUUCGCCGUAUUACCCAAUCCAUUACGCCCCGAUUACGCGCGUAUUACAUUACGCCCCUAAUCCGGCGUUUGGUUCGCUGUAUUAGCCAUUACGCGCGUAUUACAUUACGCCCCUAAUCCCCAAAUUCCCGUGUUUUACAAUCCGUUCCCAAAUCGUUGUAUUAGCCAUUACGCCCGGCCUCCCUCCCCAUCUCUCUGUUUUACCCUCCCUCCCUACCCGACCCUCUCCUCUUCCGUCCUAAUCAUUUUCUCCUCCCAUUUCCCACUGAUUCCGUUGAUUAAUCUGUCGUCAUCGUUUCUUCUCGUCUCGGCAUCAAAUUUCCCUUCCCCAUUUCCUCCCAACACUAUCUGCUCCGCACACCAAAACCCUCUCUUUUUCUCUUCAAUAUAUUCACAAAAUUGGAAAUUCUAGCAGCAGCAGCAGCCAAAACAGUAACCAGCAGCAGCCCCUCUUUCUUCUCUUUCUUUCGAUUUCACACUUCUCAUAAAUGGAACAUUUCAAUCAGAAAAUGGAAAAGAGAAAUCAGUUGCAUGAGAAGGAAAAUUACUAAGGUUGUUGGUUUGCAUAUUUAACUGGGUUAAUCUUAGAAAUCUUGAGGGAGAAAACUUGUGACAUAAUGCAGACUAUUAGUUAGAACAGGAACUAUGUUUGGUGAUACCCUCUGAGAGUAGUAAUUUUUGGUAAUAGAGAGGAUGGUUAAGCAGUACAACUUUCGAUUAUGACUGCAGGAGGGUCUGACUAGGACAUUCAUUAAACAUUGGCUUAGGACUAAUAACUAUUUGUGUGCAAGAAGGUAGAAAUAUUUGUUAGUAAGACUUCUUAAAAAUUGGAUGUAGGGUUAAUAGUAUUAAGAAAACUGUAUUAGUUGUAUGUUUGGUGCCGCCCUGGUCUGUGAAUGGUGAUUUGCUCUUUAGGUGGGGAUUUUGAUGAUUACCUGAUUUUGGUUUAUGCCUGUUUUUGCAAGCAGCAUUUUGGCAUCUAUGUUGAAGCUAGUAGCCAAAAGAAUGGAGGUUUUAUGCUUGGUAGCAGUUUUGAGUAGUAUUGAAAAUUUUAGAAAGGGACAAAGAUAAACACAUACACACACAUCGUGUAGGUGCAAACCUAAGAAGAAGAAUGAAGUUCCUCUAGCAAGUAUCUUAGCCAAAUAAGUCCACAGAAGAAUGAGCCAUAGCUGUGUAGCCUUAUUUGGUACUUGGUCUUGCAACAAGGGCCUUCUUCUUAAUCUUCCAUGAUAAAGAUAGUUGUAGAGAUAUCUAUCAAUAUCUUGAGGGUGGCAGUGAGUGUUAUACAAUUGAUGACUAUUUAGGUUGAUCUGAUGUAUUUGAGAAGUAUGUCGUAAAUAAAAGUAAUAUGCUAUGUUUACAACUGAUGGGAAAUUUUGAAGUUCAGUGAUGUAAUGAGGUCGGAAAUUUCCAUGUCAAGAUAACCAUGUAGCAUUUCCAACUUUUUCUAUAACGUAUCAGCAACUAGGGCUGUUAUUCUUUUAUUUUAGUCAUAACCUUGGUGUUUGUUAUGGUCAUUGUAAUGUCAUUGCAAAGGCCGAUGCAUAAUUUGGCUCCUUUUAGAGUUUCUGAUUGUACCGGAUGCACAUCUGCCUUUGGAACCUCGAGUCAAAAUAAAAUGUUAUGAUCUUUUCUUGCCCUAGAUUAUUGAAACCUGUCCGGAUAACAUGAUUAACACCUACUUUUUAGAUGCUUUAAGCUUGAACAUGCUUUAUUGUUCUUUCAUAAAACCGCAAAUUUGUUGCUCAUGUCUCAGCAAUAGAUAUGAAAAAAUUUGGGACUUGUUUAUGUGUAAUUUCUUUUUCCUUUGAAAACUGUAAGUAUAACUCUUAAAAUUGCUUCUGUACCUCUAUGUUUGAAUCAUUGAAAUUGCAUUUGCUAAUUUUUGAACUCAUUGAUAUUCUCUUCAGUGGCUCUCUAAAAACAUUGGUAAGAAGGUGGAUAAGUCAGCUCUCUCUAAUGGAUCUGCAAUGACAGGUACACCGUUUAUUGUUCCAGGUUACUAUUAAUACUCAUCGGGCUAAUUUUUGUUUUCAUUUGUGCAGAUAAGAGUACAUCAGCACCAUCAGGUGUUCCGACUGCUUCUCUUAAAGUCCUUCGUCCAGAUACAUCUCAGAUGGUGAUUUAUGAUCCAAGGCAGCAUCAUGGUACAAGCUUUUGCUUGAGUAAAAAUAUAUGCCUGUGAUUUUUUCAAUGGUAUUCUAUUUUUUUAGCAACUUCAUUGGGCCACGAAUGGAUGGAGUAUCUCAUUUUGUCAUCUUGUUUAAUUAUGGUGUUGACUUGUUCAUAUACAUUGGUCAUUAGCAGUAUUGAACUUGAAACUAAAGAUAUCCUUUGCGUAGACUUAUGCAGUCAUUUAUGCAUGAAAUAGGCAUAUGAUUCUGUAGAAAAAUUAGACCUCAUUGCCUCAAUAAUCAUGUGGUUGUUUCCAAUAGUUUUUUAGUUUCCUUUGCUACUUUAGGUUGUUGUCUUUGUUUUAAUUAAAGUCUUAUCUAUUUGCUUUGGUCAUUAGCGAGAUUGCAAUAGAAGCUUUCAAGAAGUCCUUUUUAGAGAAUUAUGUGGUCAUCUGUGUAUGAAUAUUCAAGCACUGCUUUGAUGUGAUUAACAAAUUUACUCUUCUGAUUCUUUCUAGUGAACAUCUGAUGUAAUUUGACUUGGAAAUGAAAUUAACCAAAACUAUUGUUAUUCAUGUAAGUGAUACGGGAAAUGAGAGCAAUUAAAAUGCUCCGUAGGUUUUGUUUGUCUGAUCGAGCUCUUCAUUCUUAGGUGAGGUCAUAUGGCUGAUUCUGGGAUUUAUCUUAUUAGAUGGUCUUUGAUGCACACUGGUGAAUACGAAAGAUUAUGAGAUGUGCAUGCGCCCGAGUAAUUUAUAAAUCAAGCCUAAAUCAUUGAUCUAUAAAUAGCAAAGCAGUUUUACUUAAAACUGUCAUAUAUGUCCAGGAAUAUGCCUAUUCAUCUUUGUAUAACUACCGUCGUGAAUCUUGGAAAUGGCAAACCAAAUAUGAGUAUUAAGAGAAAAGAAAUAUAAAAUGUAUUAGAAUGGUAAACGAUAAAGAGAAAAGCUCAAGUUAGCCAAAGGGCCAGGCAUUGAAAAGGAAAAGGAACCAUAGAGAUUCUCCAAUUUUCAAAGUCAAGGGUGUUGGCUUAGAACGGGUCAAACAUAAACAUGUAUCUCCUAUGCUACUAUUAUGCGUUUAGAAGUGGUGACCCCUAACUAGCUUAUAACUUUGUUGAAAACAGUAUUGUAUUAACUUCAAGAGAAAUGAUGCUGGGUGAUCGUGUGGUGCAGUGUAGUUAUAUUUCCGUUUUCAAUAUAUUAACUUCAAUAGAAACGGUGCUGGUUGAUCAUGUGAUGCGGUGCAGUUAUACUCCUUGGUGUAACUUUUAAGGAAUUAUAGCGGUUAGGAUUUUACGUUGUUUCUUUUUUCCAUUCCCUUUUUUGUGUAAUUUCCUCAUCGAGAUAGAAGAGGGAAGGUUUUGAGAGAGGCUGGGGUCGGAUGUUUAAAAUCUAUAUCUGAUAUGUACAACAAAUUAUUUUAUUUUGCUGUUCUUUUGGGCUUGAUAAUGGCUUUAAAGGUCACCAGCUUUUAGCAGUUCUGCUCAUUUACCUUCCGGCAAUUGACAUGACUUAGAGUGGCAAAUGUUAUGCUUUUACCUCUUAUAACAUUGAAUUGUAUGCUUGUUGAAUCAUAUUGAAAUGCUAGAUACUUAACUGACUAAACUUGUUUGAAUGUAGGAACUACAGUUCCAUCAAACACCACUACUGCAAUUCUUGCUGCUCCCAAUUUGUCGAAUCCCAUGGCUACAGUUGUUGGUGCUGCUUCAAACCCAUUAACCUAUAAUUUGUAGUUGAAUUUGAAUUAUGAUCCAAAAUGCAACAUAUCAAUGAUGAAAUACGGCGAUGCAUCUGCUUGAAUUUCUCUGUCUAGUUGGCCUUUUAAGUCCCUUCUGAUUUGGUAUCCUUGGAAAAUUAUUUGUUUUGCACUCUUGGCAUUUUAAUAUCAUAUUAGAAUAACUAGUUUAUAACUUUGGAGUAAUGAUUCAUUGUAAUUUUACCCAUUUUUAUAUAUUUCUUUAAUUUUUUAGUUCAUCACAAGGUUCAUGCCAUAGGGGCAAAGCUAAAAUCAAAAAAUAAAAAAGAACCUCAUUGAGGAAGAAAAUUCAGAGAAUAAGGUAAGAAAACCAAAAAAUAUAGCAACUGAGAGAAUAUACAGAGCUAUGUUUCUCCGACUCUUCAUUUUGCUUGAAGUAUCCCUUUUUUAUACCCCUGUCAGAGUAUUCAUUUUUCUUAAAGUAUUUGGUUUCAACACCCAUGCCCGACGAUGAAAGAACCUCUUUGAGAAAGUUAUACAAUAGAUUUAUUAUAUAAAUUAUUUUAAAUUAUAUAAAUUCAUAUAAGAAAAUUUAUUAUCAAUAAUUUUAUGAAAUUAUAUCUUAUUAAAUUAUAUGUAAUAAUAAUUAUUUUAAAUUAUACAAAUUCAUAUAAGAUAAUUUAUUAGUUAUAAUUAUUUUAAAUUUUAUUAAAUCAUAUAUUUUAUUUAAAAUAUAUUUAAUAUUAAUCAUUUCAAAUUAUCUUUUAUAGUAUCAUAUAUUAUGAUUUGAGUAAAUUCAUAUAAGAAUAUUAAUUAUUAAGAAUUUUAUUAAAUUAUAUAUUUUAAUUAUAAUAUAUUUAAUAUAUUUAAUAAUUAUUAUGUUUAAAUAUGAUUAAAUUAUUUAUUUUUGAUAAUAAAUAAUCUUAUUAAAAUUUAAAUAGCAAUAACAAUAAUCAUUUACCAAAACAAAUUUAUGCUAAGGGUAUUCUGGUCAUUUUAGUUUUCUCCAUUAUGCUAUUACACCUCUAUUACAUUCAACCAAACACAGUUUUACUAUUACGCCUCUAUUCCAUUACAUUCAACCAAACAGUUGAUUUGCUAUUACACCUCUAUUCCAUUACACCUCUAAUCCAAUACACCUCUAAUCCAAUACACCUCUAAUCCAAUACAGCGAACCAAACGUGACGUUAAUGUAUUUAGGUAAUUUAGGUUGGGUUAAUUGGGCUAUCAGUUUGUAAUUUGGGCCUGGUGUUGGUUAAUGUAAUUAGGUAAGGGGUUAACAAUCAGAUUUGUGAUAUUGGGGCUUAGUGGUCUGAUGUAUUUUGGGUUUGGGUAAAUUAAUUGGGCCUACUGUUGUAAUAAACUGGACAUUUAUUUGGUUUAUUUUAUUUCAUUUUAAUUUGGUGUUUAUUUAUCUAUGAUUUUAGACCCAGGCUAAAAUUGGGUAUUACAUAUCGAAGCACCUAAGAAAGUUGAAAAUUAUAUGGAUUUAUACUUUCUAAAGCAUAUAUAAUUUAGCUACUCUUUGCUAUUUGCAUAAGGAAACAAACAUAUAGCAGGGAAGAGUGUGAUUUUUAUACUCUUGUAAUGAUAAAGGAGUUGCAAUAAUUUAUUUCAUUAGUUUACACUUAAUCUGGAAUUCAAUUUCAAUAAAAGAAUCCAGUUAACUUCCAAAGACUAGUCUUGCAUCUAGAAAUUAAGAGUUUGGAUACGUGUUACCUUGUGCAAAGUGUCGCUACUUUGUGCAAGUUUCUCGUAUGCUCAGUUCAGAUUAAUUCAAAUUAUAUGGAAAAUUAUAACUGUGUUUGACAAAAAUACAAAUUUGUAUGGCUUAUGUUACUCCGACAACAAUAUGAUAUUUCAUUGCUCGAACCCGACGAUUUGAUGAGGAAAUAAAGGGUUACAUUUAGUAAUAUCAGUAACCAAGUCAAUGGAAUGCUUUCACUGUCCCUGACAUGGUCAUGUAGCCAACUGCCACCUUGAAUAUUAUUUUUUGUUCACUUCUGCCCCAUCCAUUCAUUGGGAAGCCCUAAACAAAAUACAGCAAGAAUAGUUCAACAUGCGUAAAUUAAUGUUUUUAGUCAUAUUGACAAAGAAUUGACUAACUUGUGUAGCUUCCUCGAACAGAAGCUGCUUUAUCAUCUUCAUCUUGUGAGAACGGGUCAACAAAAUACAGCCACCUUCGACAAUUGAACUUUUAAUUUGUAAGUGAAUUCCUUAAAGAAACAUGCAACGGAAAUUUCAAGAACAAUAUUGUUUCAGUUCUUGUUUUCAGGUUUAACAUUUACAUACCUCGUUACUCUCACCAUUUCCUUCGACCCUUAUUUCCAGCGUUAUUGGGGAACAUCAUCGGCAACUACACCGCCAAUAGUGCCUACGAGCGUGACCUGAAUAGCAUCUUCAAGGAGAUCACCUCUACAACAAAAUCCAAUUAUCGGUUUUACAGCAACAAGGUCGGCGAAGUCAACGCCAUGGCACUUUGCAGAGCAGAUGUUAAGGUAGAUGUUUGCACUAGUUGUUUAUAGGAAAAUAUCUAAUUAUUAUUAAAAAAAAAGUUAACAAUUCAAAUCUAAUUAUUUUGAACUUGAAUUGACACAUAGAAUAGAUUUAAACUCAAAAUGACUCAAACAAAUCAUUUCAAAUUACUAAAGUCUAAAAAGAUCAAAACUCGAUCCAAAUUUAUAAUGACGAACUUAAAAGGCUAGUACUUCAACCAUAAAUAAUUCAAAAUCCUAAAUUAAUCCUAAUUGAAAUAAUCUAAAAAUUUUAAAACUAGAUUACUUGCAGGCUUGCUUAUUACAGUCCUUGAAUACAUGUCAUUUAUUGGUAACCAAGUCAACGGAGUGCUUUCAUUGACCCGAACAUUGUCAUGUAACUAACUGCCACAUUGAAUAAUUAUUUAUCAUUUACUUCCGUUCCAUCGAUUCAUUGCGGAUCCAGCUCUUCUUGUAGACCAAUUUACACAACAAGACUGCUUUAUCAUAUUCGUAUUGUUAGAACCAGUCAACAAAAUACAGCCACCUUCAACAAUUAAACGUUUAAUUUGUAAGUGAAUUCCCUAGAGAAAAUGGCAACGGAAAUUUCAAGAACAGUACUGUUUCACUUCUUGUUUUCAGGGUUUAACAUUUACAUUCCUCGUUACUUUUGCCAUUUCCUUCGACCCUUAUUUCCUGCAUUCUUGUGCAAACAACAUCGGCAACUACACCGCAAAUAGUGCUUACGAGCGUGACCUCAAUACCAUCUUCAAACAGAUCACCUCUAUUACGAAAUCGAAUUACGGAUUUUACAGCAAGAAAGUCGGCAAAGUCAACGCCAUGGCACUUUGCAGAGCAGAUGUUAAGCUAGAUGUUUGCACUGGUUGUUUAAAUGAAACUAUAUCAAGGGUCAAGCUGGAUUGUCCUAACAACAAAGAAGCUAUCGGAUGGUCUGCGGAUUGCACGUUACGGUACUCGAACACAAACCUCUCCGAGAAGUUGGAAAUUAAUCCUCAAACCUGUCUAUAUAAUACAGGAUCUACGGCUGAUGAGUACUUUCAGCUCAGACUCGGAGAGUUGUUGAGUGACCUGCGUAAUAAAGCAGCAGCAGGGGGUGCUCUUCUUAAAUACGCAGCAGGUAACUCGUCGCUCAGGGCUUCGGAAAGAUUAUACGCUCUAGUGCAGUGCACUCCUGAUUUGUCUGAAGGAGACUGCAAUCAUUGUCUUGAUAAGGCGGCAACUGACGGGAUUCGGCGGUGUUGCCUUAAGCAGAGGGGAUGCCGGGUUCUUAGUCCUAGCUGUAACUUGAGGUUCGAAACAUAUCCCUUUGUUGAAGCCGGAGCGGAGUUUCCACCACCCCCGUCACCCUCGGGCGAUCGGCAAAAAGAAGGUACUGUUGGGAAGAAACCGAACAACCGAAACAAAGCGAAAGCAUAACCGGUGUUCUUUCUCUCCCUAUAACUCCUGUCAAAAAUUACGGCAAGCACAAUAGCACAAGAUAUGUUCUCUAGCAACCUUAAUCAACCACAAAUCAACUAAUGCAAUCACAACAAAAAUAAAUAGAGACACCGGUAUUUUACGUGGAAAACCCCUCUAAAUCAAGGGUAAAAACCACGGGACUUUAGAGUCCGAUAAAGAGCUCCACUAUCAUCAAAUGUUCGGCUACAAGAUCACAAUAUCAAGCCUACAACAAGCAUUCAACUCCGACAAGGCUAACAAUAUGUAAUCUUUAGCAAAAGAGAGAAAAAUGAGAGAACAUCACCAAAAACGUAGCUGCUGAAAAAUGGGUAUUUCCGACGCUACAAGACUCGGAUGAAAAAUCCGACCGUACAAAGUCAAGAACACCUUAUCGCCUAGCUGCUGUCCAAAAAUCAGCUCAAUCGAACCACGGAUGGACCUUCGAUCGAAGAGUUGAUCACUGCUGCACCAAGCUUGAAAAACUGAUUUUUCUAUUCUCUCUUUUUCUCCAACGAGCUUCAAUUUCACUCUCUUUCUCUCUGGAUGUAAUUGAGAAUUUUGCUCUCAAUUAAGAAUGCUGCCCACUCCCACGUUAAAAGGCCAAAAAAUUGGCUUUUGACAAAACCAAAAAGAAGGCAAAACAUUGUGGCAGAAAAUAUGGGUUUUUCCACAUAGUGGGACCCACUCCUAACAAAUCUCCCCCUCCAACUAUGUGGGGAAUGCCUCCAUGCCGAAGGUCAAACAACAUGCUUCAAACUUUCCUCUUGGUAAGGCCUUCGUCAACAUAUCAGCACCAUUAUCAUUAGUGUGUAUCUUCUCAAGCUCUAACAGCUUAGCUUCAAGAACAUCUCGUAUCCAAUGGUACCUCACAUCAAUAUGCUUAGAUCUAGCAUGAAAAGUUGAGUUCUUACCAAGAUGAAUAGCACUCUGGCUAUCAUAGUACAGGACAUACUUCUCCUGAGUAAAACCAAGCUCAUGCACAAACUUCUUCAUCCAAAGCAUCUCCUUACACGCUUCGGUUGCUGCAAUGAACUCUGAUUCGGUGGUGGACAAUGCAACACACUUUUGCAGUCUCGAUUGCCAUGCCACAGCUCCCCCUGCAUAAGUGAUUAAGUAACCUGAAGUAGAUCUCCUCGAAUCAAUGUCUCCGGCCAUGUCUGAAUCUGUAUACCCAACAAGAACAGGUUUUUCAUUGCCGAAACAAAGUUUCAUGUUGGAAGUGCCACGAAGAUAUCUCAUAAUCCACUUCACUGCAUUCCAAUGCGCUCUGCCUGGAUUAGAAAGAAACCGACUAACUGUACCAACGGCAUAAGCCAAGUCUGGUCUCGUGCAAACCAUUGCGUACAUCAAACUACCCACGGCUGAAGAGUAAGGAAUUUUCUGCAUCUCUUCCUUCUCCUUUUCUGUGGAAGGACUAUGCUUAACACUCAAUCUAAAGUGCAUAGCAAAGGGAGUAUUCACCGCUUUAGCUUUGUCCAUACUAAACCUUUGAAGUACUUUCUCAAUGUACCUCUCUUGUGAUAACCAUAAUUUCUUGGCCUUUCUAUCACGUGUCAGUCUUAUGCCAAGAAUUUGCUUUGCUGGCCCCAAAUCCUUCAUUGCAAAGGAUUUACUCAACUCUUGUUUCAACUUCUCAAUUCUAGAAGCAUUCUGACCAACAAUAAGCAUAUCAUCAACAUAGAGCAAAAGAAUAAUAAAAUCAUCACCAGAGAAUCUCUUAACAAACACACAAUGAUCAGAAGUAGUCUUCUUGUAGCCUUGCUCCCCCAUAACAGACUCAAACUUCUUGUACCAUUGCCUUGGAGCUUGCUUCAAACCAUACAAGCUCUUCUUCAAUCUGCACACAUAGUCCUCUUUCCCUUGUGCAACAAAACCCUCUGGCUGCUCCAUGUAAAGCUCUUCUUCCAAGUCACCAUGAAGAAAAGCAGUUUUCACAUCCAUUUGUUCAACCUCUAGGUCAUAACAAGUUGCCAAACUCAGUAUAGUUCUGAUAGAGGACAUCUUCACAACCGGAGAAAAUAUUUCUUCAAAAUCAACCUCUUUUUUCUGAGUAUAACCCUUGACGACCAAUCUAGCUUUGUAUCGUGGAGAUGAAGACUUCUCUUCUUGCUUCAACCUGUAUACCCACCGAUUAUUCAAAGCUCUUUUGCCCUUAGGCAGUUUCACCAAUUCAAAAGUAUGGUUCUCAUGCAAGGAUUGAAGUUCGUCUUUCAUCGCUUCAACCCACUGAUCUUUGCAUUCACUCUCCAUAGCCUCUUCAUAACAUUCAGGUUCUCCCCCGUCAGUCAAAAGAAUAUAUUCAUCAGGAGAAUACCUGACAGAAGAUCGUCGAUCUCUAGAAGACCUUCGAAGUGGAACUGUUGGUGGAGCUAUAGGUGCUUGUUGUUGAUCAUUCACAACAUCAUCCAUGGGAGUAUCAAAGUCACCUAUAGUCUGAUGGUCACCACUAACAUCAUCAUGCACAUCAUCCUGGAUAGGAUCUGGUGAAGAGUCUAGGGGAACCGGAUUCACAUCGAUCAAGUCACCACUACCUUGUGAAUCCACUUUCUCCGUCUUAUCAAUGUCAUCAAUGGUCUGAUCCUCAAUGAAGACAACAUCUCUGCUUCUCACGAGUUUCUUCUGAACUGGAUCAUAGAGUCUAUAACCAAACUCACCGUCUAGACCAUAACCAAUAAAAAUGCAUUGUCGAGCCUUGGCAUCCAACUUGGAUCUUUCAUCCUUUGGAACAUGAACAAAUGCUUUACAACCGAACACACGUAGGUGAUCAUAUGACACGUCUUUACCAAACCAAACUCUAUCUGGCACAUCACCUUUCAAAGGAACACUAGGAGACAGAUUUAUCACAUGUGUCACUGUAUUCAAAGCUUCAGCCCAAAACGAUCUUGGUAACUUUGCAUCUGACAACAAACAUCUGACUCUCUCAAUCAAUGUUCGGUUCAUUCUUUCAGCUAACCCAUUUAACUGUGGAGUCUUUGGUGGUGUUCUCUGAUGUCUGAUUCCCUAUCGCAGACAAUACUCAUGAAACGACCCUGUGUACUCGCCACCAUUAUCAGUACGAAUGCACUUCAACUUCUUCCCAGUUUCCCUUUCAACUGAUGCUUGAAACUGUUUAAACACCUCAAAGACUUGAUUUUUAGACUUCAAAGUGUAAACCCAUAGCUUUCUUGAACAAUCAUCAACGAAAGUCACAAAGUAAAGUGCACCACCAUGUGAUCUUACUUUUAUCGGACCACAAACAUCUGAAUGGACCAACUCUAGCAACUCUGAUUUCCUAUGAGGAGGAUGGCUUCUAAAUGAAACUCUUCUCUGCUUUCCUACUAGACAAUGAGCACAAUUCUUCAGUGUAGCAUUCUUUAAACCCGAAAGUUGAUUCUUCUUCGCUAAACAGCUAAGCCCCUUCUCACUCAUGUGACUGAGUCGUUUAUGCCACAACUCAAUUGAGCUGUCAUUCAGUGUCACAUUCACCGUCUCUCGAGAAGUCAAAGCUUGCAUCAAGUACAAAUUUGAGCUCUUCUUUCCUCGAGCCACAACCAAGGAGCCUUUAGUCAACUUCCACUGCCCUUCACUGAAGGUGUUACAGAAUCCCUCAUCAUCAAGCUUUCCUGCAGAAAUCAAAUUCAAACGGACAUCCGGUGCAUGUCUGACAUCCUUGAGAGUUAACUUUGUUCCAUUGUUACUCACCAAGCUAACAUCUCUCAUACCAAUAACCGAAACCAAACCAUCAUUACCCAUCUUCAAUACCCCAAAAUCACCAGGAGUAUAAGAUGUGAAGAAUUCCUUCCUCGACGUGACAUGAAGUGAUGCACCAGUAUCAAUCACCCAACUAGUCUCGUCGCAUGCUAGGUUGACCAAAUUCUCAUCACAAAUAACUAACAGAUCUUCACGAGUAACAGUAGCAACACGCUCGGAUUUUUCAUCGUCAUUCCGAUCGUGUUUAUCACCACCACCUUUGUUCUCUUUCUUCCACUUGAAGCAAUAUUUCUUGAUAUGACCUUUCUUACCACAAUGAUGACACUCAAGAUUCUUGUAUCUCGAUCUUGACUUGCUUCGGCUUUUAUCUCUACCCUUUCCAUCUUUGUCUCUGUUUCUUCCCCUGUUCUCGAUAACCAACACCUCGGACUGUGAUGUAGAGCCCUGAGAUCUUCUAACCUCUUCAUUCAACACACCACUCUUAGCCAAAUCCAAAGUAAUAAUACCCUGUGAGGCAGAAUUAAUGAGUGAGACUCGAAAGGUCUCCCAAGAGUCUGGUAGAGUAGCAAGCAACCAAAGUCCUAAAAUCUCGUCAUCAAAUUUGACACCCAUACCAAGCAACUGAUUCAUCAUACUCUGAAAUUCACUAACAUGGUCAGCUAUAGACAUUCCUUCUUUAUAUUUCAGCGCCAUCAUUUUCUUCAGCAAAAAUAACUUGUUAUUGCCCGACCUUGAAGCAUACAAGCUUUCAAGCUUCUCCCACAAUGUUCGAGCAUGUGUCUCCUGAUCAAUGUGGUUGUAAACAUUUUCUUCAACAAAUUGCCGAAUAAAGCCACACACUUGUUGAUGCUCAAAUUCCCAUUCUUCAUCACUUUUCGAAUCGGGUUUUUGAGUAGUAAAGACCGGAAGAUGCAAAGCCUUCAUAAACAACAAGUCCUUCAUUUUAUUCCGCCAAAGUUGUUAAUUUGUGCCAUUCAACAUAAUCAUCUUGCUCGUAUUAAUUUCCAUAAUUAUCUGACACAAUAACCAAGCUCUGGUACCAGUUUGUUAGGAAGAAACUGAACAACCGAAACAAAGCGAAAGCACAACCGGUGUUCUUUCUCUCCCUAUAACUCCUGUCAAAAAUUAUGGCAAGCACAAUAGCACAAGAUAUGUUCUCUAGCAACCUUAAUCAACCACAAAUCAACUAAUGCAACCACAACAAAAAUAAAUAGAGACACCGGUAUUUUACGUGGAAAACCCCUCUAAAUCAAGGGUAAAAACCACGGGACUUUAGAGUUCGAUAAAGAGCUCCACUAUCAUCAAAUGUUCGGCUACAAGAUCACAAUAUCAAGCCUACAACAAGCAUUCAACUCCGACAAGGCUAACAAUAUGUAAUCUUUAGCAAAAGAGAGAAAAAUGAGAGAACAUCACCAAAAACGUAGCUGCUGAAAAAUGGGUAUUUCCGACGCUACAAGACUCGGAUGAAAAAUCCGACCGUACAAAGUCAAGAACACCUUAUCGCCUAGCUGCUGUCCAAAAAUCAACUCAAUCGAACCACGGAUGGACCUUCGAUCGAAGAGUUGAUCACUGCUGCACCAAGCUUGAAAAACUGAUUUUUCUAUUCUCUUUUUCUCCAACGAGCUUCAAUUUCACUCUCUUUCUCUCUGGAUGUAAUUGAGAAUUUUUCUCUCAAUUAAGAAUGCUGCCCACUCCCACGUUAAAAGGCCAAAAAAUUGGCUUUUGACAAAACCAAAAAGAAGGCAAAACAUUGUGGUAGAAAAUAUGGGUUUUUCCACAUAGUGGGACCCACUCCUAACAGGUAUGACAAUUUUCCUUCCACUGUCACUUCUUCCAACCACCUGUUAGCACAGCUUCACUUUGGAGGCACUAUAUUAGUCUAUCACUCUUGUUGAAUCGAGAAAAUUUGAUUCUGCCCUUAUUUAAUUAGAAGAGGAACCAAACAAAUCAAAAAGGACUCCAGUACUUGUUGCAAGUUUAUCAGUGAUUUUUGGGGUAGCUGUGGUUUCUAUCUCAGGUUUCUUAAUCUGGAAGAGGAGAAACAAUCAAGGUAUGCAAUGGCAAACAUUACAAUUUUUUUUUGUAUUGUUAUAUUGAUCACUUUCUUACUUUCUUCUUUUAUUAAUUUCAGAUACAGAGUACAGAGAAAUUCAAUUACUUGACUUGGUAGAGGGAAGAAUUGAUAUGUGAAAAUCAAGUUUGUAACGUUAGGUAUAAAUAAAUGAAUUCUUUCGGGGAACACUAGCUGAUGGUAAACAACUGCAGUUAAAAGGCUAUCAAGAACUUCCGAUCAAAAGCUUGUUGAGUUCAAAAAUGAAAUCAUGUUCUUUUUUCCUUUUUUUUUUCCCUACUAAGCUACAAUUUUAGGUAUGGAAACUCUUAUCUGAAUAGAGGUAGUAGAUAAGUUCCUUAUCCCGUCGAGUGUAAUUUUUGAGGUGCUUAAAUGCAUUUUGGUUUAUUGUACAUGCAGGAAAAUCUGCUACUCAGUCUAAUCAAAUCAUCUCUUAUUGUCAUGUUGGCAACCGAUAUCGUAAAGCUUGCUCGUGCAAUUAAACCAACAUCUUUUGUGGGCAUAUCAUUGCAGAAUCAAUCAAACACAUUUCAAAUGAUGAAAUUUUUUUAAUUAUUAUUAAAAUUUUUCACCUCGCUGAUUUGAUCACUAUUUUAAUUUUAAGAUUAUAUAUUUGAAUGUAAAAAUUAGUAUAAAGCUGAUAACUAAUCAUUUUAUGAAUAUUAUUUUUAAUGUGUUGAAGCACCUUAAUUAGUAAACAAAGUUCAAACUUGCAUCAAAUUAUACUCCCAAAAAUAUACAAAUUUUAGCUACCCUUUCUUCUUUCAAUCCGCUCUGCAAGACUUAUAUUAGGAAUUAGCAAAAUUUGGUUGGAUUUAAAAAAAUUAAAAAUUUUCAAAUUUAAAAUUAAUCAAAUUGAUUUAUUCGAGUUAUUCAAUUUUCUCGAGUCAACUCAGACAAGUAAUUCUAUUUUCGAGUUCGAAUCAAGUUAAAUUUUAUAAUUUGAAUAACUCGAAUAAUUUAAUAAUAUUUUGGUAUAACUACUCCUUUAGUCCCCGUCAAGUUUAAAAAUGAGCAAAUCGGUCUCUCUCUUAUCAAAAAUUACAAAAACUUCAAAAUAAUUUUUAAAAUUCAAAACAUUUAUAAAAAUUUCAAACUUUAUAUUUUUUUAAAGAAUUGUAAAAAAAAUUGUAAAAAAAAUUCUAAAUAAUAUAUAAAGAAAGUUACAAUUUUAAAAUUUUCUAAAAUAAUAAUUUUAGAGACUUAAAUAAUUUAAUUAAUUAUUCAAGUUUAUCAUAGUAAAAUAUCUUUUCUUUUUUCUUAUUUUACUUUGAAUUUUUUUAAAUAUAUACAGUUUCAAAUUUAUAUGCUCAAACAUGAAAUUAGUUAUAUUGUAAUAAUAUUUUAAUUUGUCGUGAUUAUUUUUUUAAUUUAGCUCAAACAAUUUCACUCGAUUUGACUCGACUUAAAUUUCAUUUUACGCGACUCGAUUCAAAAAAAACUCAAAUCAAAUUAAGAUGAUAAAAUAAGACUUAUCAACUUGAUUAACUCGAAAUUUUUUCACUUUAUUCGAUUGAACCUUCCUCCUUAUUUACGUCGCAAUUAGAAAACAUAUAGUAGUAAGGAAGAGUUAAAUUUUUAUACUAAAAAUAAAAAUUCAAAAAGUUACAUGUGCUUUUUUUAUAAAUAUACUCUAAAAUGGGUUAAUCUAAAUUAUAAAAUCUAGGAUCCAAAAAUGAAUAAUUUCUCUACCACCGAAUUGAACAUUGCAUUUCAGUUUUAAAAUCUAUUCUAAUCAAAGAAGCCAAAUUAACUUGACUUUGAAGAAUGGUAAACACCUAGAAAUCAAGUAGGGUCCUAAACCAUAAAUCAAGGCAGUCUGAUAAUUGGGUAUAUAUGCACUAAAGAUAACCAAGAAAAAUGAGACACGUUCCUAUCAUGUCCUUUCAAAAUGUCUUUAAAUUCUACCCAUAUAUUUUUCCACAACUUGGUUGCCAUUUUAUGAGAAAAAUCCAUCAAUUACGGACAAAAACAUAAUGGAACCCAAAGACCAAGUCUUAUAAACUUGUCGUUAUUGGCUGCACCAGAAAAAACAUCAUGCUUUGUAUCCUCAUAUUCUCAUUUCUGUAGAGGAUUUUUUUAUGGCAAAAAGGAAUUUCCUAAGUGAAACGGAAUGUAACAAAAGACGAUGAAAAGGACGAUUAGAAUAGAUAUUUUAUAACAUUAAGUGUAAAGAUAGAUGAUAGUUUAUAAGGUGGAAAUGGAAAAUUACUAAGUGUGGCUGUAGGUACGAGAGCUCAUCAAAUAGGAGUAAUAAGAGGCAUUUUUACUGAUAAAGAAUUCAAGUCUUGUAUAAUAGUCCAUUUAAAAAAACAUGGAAGAUGUAUUUAAUGUUACAAGAAAAGGUUAACAUGUAACAUUUAACUAUCGAUAGAAGUUCUUGUGCUUUUAGUUUCUUUGUUGAAGAUAGAUGGAUUGACUUAUUACACCAAACUAAGCUCUCCAAAAUAUUAAAAGAGUAAAGAUAAUCGAAGAAUCUUAUCAUAUUCUUGUCGAGUAAUAUUUUCUCAUGUCUUAUUGAUAAGAGUGUUCGAGUAUUAUUGACAGGUUGUUCCUAACAAUAGGUGUUUCGAAUAUAAUUAUUCUUAAAUUUCAAUUAUUCUAAAUAAGAUUUGUUUUAAAUAUUAAUUGUUCUUAACAAGAGCUAUUCUCAAACAAUUACUACUAUAGGCAUCAACAGUUGUGAACAUAAUAGCUAUUCUAGAACAAAGGUUGAUUUGAGUAGUGAUUAUUCUAAACAAAAGUUAUUCUUCAGAUAAAAACAUUUAAAAAGAAAACAAUAGAAGUGAUUAGAAUAUGUUUAUCUCGAAGUUGAAUUUAUGUGAAUCAAACCUACUCAAACCUUAAACAACUUAAACUCAAUAUGACUCCAAUGAGUAACUUAAAAAUACUAAAAUCUCAAGGAAUAAACCUAAAAUGAUCCAAACCCAUAUUAAUUAAAUCCAAAAUUAAUCCUAAACAAAUAAUUUAAAAUUUUUAACUGGAAGCAACAGAACCUGACUGAUCUACCUCAAAGUAAAACUCAUUUCAAAGUGAGACAAAUUAGAUUAUUACUUGCAGUCUUGCAUACUACAGUCCUUAUAUAUAUGUCAGAUGUUUUAGGUAAUCUGUGUCAAUGGAGUUCUUUCACUGUCUUGGACGUAGAUGUAGCCAACUGCCACAUUGAAUAGUUUUUCACUUCCAUCCUCAUCUGGACCCAAACUCGUCAUCUUUGUAGACUAAAUCAUAUAUGCAAACAAUCCAAAAAUCUAAUGACCUGACUCGUAUUUUUUUAAAACGGAUCAGAUAAUCUUCCACGAUGGACCAAAAAUUUAGCCCUUACUAAAAGCACCCAUAUCAUAAAUUUCAGAAUAUAGCUGAGCUCUCUCGUCUUAUGAUCCAAACAAGGAGGUAAAGCCAAAAAAAAAAAAAUGCAGAGCUCCACAGUUUUCAUAACCCUGUGGCUGUUAUUAAUAGUCUUUUCCGUGCUUAGCCCUGUAACUGAAGCUCAGCCGCCCACUUAUCGCGUCCACGUUUGUCCUAACACCACCACUUUCCUCAUAAACAGCACUUACCAAGCCAACCGUGAUACCCUCUUAACUUCUCUAUCGUCUAAUGGCAGCCGUGGUAAUGGUUUCUACAACACAACUUCAGGCAGAAACCCCGACACGGUUUACGGUCUUUUCCUCUGCCGUGGGGAUCUUUCUACCAGCGUUUGUCAAGCGUGUGUCACCUUUGCCUCUACUGACAUUUCCCAACGUUGUCCUGUUGAAAGAGCAGCGGUGGUUUGGUACGACGAGUGCCUCCUACGAUACUCGGACGAAAAUAUAUUUUCCGCCGUGGCUGAAGAACCUGCAACUAUCUUGUUCAACACUCAGAACAUCAGUGACCAAGUCCGUUUCGACAGCCAAGUUCAAGAAGUGAUGAGUGAUACAGCAGCCCAAGCCGCAAACGCAGCACCAGGUGCUAAAAAAUUCGCGACUAGAGAGGCAGAUGCCAAUUUUACAUCGAGUUUCCGAACACUAUAUACCCUUGCUCAGUGUACACCGGAUUUGCCAACCUCUGAUUGCGAGAGAUGCCUGCGAUACGUAACUGGAAACCUUCCAAGAGGAAGUCAAGGAGGAAGAGUGUUGAGUCCUAGCUGCAACGUUAGAUAUGAAACUUACCUGUUCUAUAAUCUAAAUCAAACAGCAGUUGCAUCUCCUCCACCUCCUCUAGUUCCAGGUUUAUCCUUACUGUUUCAUUCAUAAUUUUGGGUCCUUGCUCUUUUGUCUUGAUCUUUUUGUUAGAUCAUGAUACUCACUUUGACCUUACCGGUAUAUAAUAUUAUAGUUUCAAGAGGGAAUGGACGAAGAACAUGGCCAAUAAUUGUUGCCAUUGUUGUUCCAAUUGCUGCUUCCAUUUUGGUUUUAUUACUGGCGUGUUGGGUGUCAAAGAGGAGAGCAAAGAAAUACGAUGCUGUCCAGGGGGGAAAUGGUAAAGGGCGUGUGAUUUUAUGAGCCAUAACAAUCUUAUUUUCCUUGUCUUUCACAAAAAAGUUGAGGGUUUUUGCUAUUUGGUUGUGCUGUGCAGCAGGGUAUGACAUAACCACUGUAGAGGCCUUGCAGUAUGAUUUUGCCACAAUUGAAGCUGCAACAAACAAGUUUUCAGAUUCUAACAAGCUAGGCGAAGGAGGUUUUGGUGAGGUUUACAAGGUAUUGUUACUCCCUUUUUAUUCUGACCCCAACCCCAAAAAAAUCUAAUCAAAUCCGACUUAAUCUAAUCUGACUAUAAAACAUGGUUGUUGGUAGUUUAAGUUUUGUUUUCGUCAAAUUUUGGUACGUUUAGCCUGUGGUCUAUACUGGAUUGUAUCUAUCUAUAUUGUUUAAUACCGAUUGGUAAAAAAAAUUAUAUUUAAAAUCAAAUUUUUUUAUCUUUAAACGUUUUAAUCUUUCUAUAAUUACAUUUAAAAUUAGAAGAUAUUUAUUAAUUUAAAUUAUUAAAUUUAAUUAAUAAUUUUAAAAUUUAUAUGGACAUUUGAGAUAUAUUUAUAUAUAUAUAGUAUAUACUUUAGAAAGAAACUAAAAAUUAAGCUACGAAUAUAUAUGAAAAAUAUUUUAAAAAAUAUUAGUAUAUCUAAAAUAGUACAACAAAAUAAAUGGAUACUUGUAUGUAGCAUUAUUGGGACGAAAAAGGAUACAUCGGUCAAUACAUUAUUGGCUACCUUAUUAUAUAAACUUAACAAUCACCUGAACGGAUUUGAACCCUUGAACUAGUCUAAACCCAAAACAAUUCAAACAAAUAAUAAGAAAUUAUUCGAACCCAUAGUGUCCUAACUUAAAAAGCCCUUAGAUCCGAACAACCCAAAAUAACUUAAACCCAAAACUAUCCCAAACUUACACGACCUGAAAAUUUUAAAACCUAAAUUAACUCAAUCUAAAUUUAACUCUUCCGAAAUUAACAUGAUCAAUCUAAUUGGCAUGUCUAUGAGUUAGGGCUGUGAUCAAGUUGAAUCGAGCCUAAAUAGUAGCAAGCUCAAGCUCGAGCUUGACUCGAUAUUUAGGGCUCAAUACUCAGCUUGAGCUUGCUUAACCAUCAAUUUCUAAGCUCGAGACAUACUUGAGCUACUCAUGCUCAAGUUCAAUUAAGCUCAUUUAUCAAUUUUCAUACUCAAGCUCAAUUAAUUCCGUUCGUACUUAAGCUCUUUCUAUAUAAUAAGAGCAAAAUUGUAAUUUCAUAAUAUACAAAAUAAAGUCAAAUGAUCGCGAGCCAUUUGAAUCAAGUAUCACAAUGCUCAAAUUUGGCUCCAUCGAUAGCUCAAGCUACUUGAAUUCAAACUUGACUUGAUAAUUACUGAAUUGAAUUUAAAUUUUUUUUAAUUAAACUCAAAUAGCUUACAAGCACCAAUUUAUACCACUAGUUUGAGUACUUGGUCUUUUUUUCAUGCGGAGUCCAAAGAAUUCAUUUAAUAAUUGGUUAAUGAUUUGUAAAUGCUCAGGGUAUCCUUCCAAACCAACAAGUAAUAGCUGUUAAGAGGUUAUCAAGAGGUUCAGGACAAGGUGAUGAGGAAUUUAAAAACGAGGCUGUAUUGGUAGCUAAGCUUCAACACAGAAAUCUAGUCAGACUAUUGGGUUUUUGCUUGGAAAGAGAAGAAAAGAUACUAGUUUAUGAAUAUGUUCCCAACAAGAGCCUGGACUAUUUUGUUUUCGGUAUUUUUCACUUACUUUUCAAAUACCCUUUUUAGAAUUUGAAUUUAUUUUUGAGGUGGUUUUUACACACAAUUGCUUGUUUGUGUCUAGAUCCUACAAAACAAGGACAAUUGGACUGGUCGAUACGAUACAAGAUUAUUGGAGGGAUUGCUCGUGGAAUUCUUUACUUGCACGAGGAUUCCCGGCUUAGAAUCAUCCACCGCGACCUCAAGGCCAGCAACAUAUUGUUAGACGAAGACAUGAACCCCAAGAUUUCGGAUUUCGGCAUGGCAAGAAUUUUUGGGGUUGAUCAAACUCAAGGAACAACCAGAAGAGUUGUUGGAACCUAGUAAGUUCUUACUUUGUUCAUAAGCAAUUUUACCGGAAUGGCCUAACACCUCCAUUACACUGACAUUGUUACUGGCUCAACAGCGGCUACAUGUCUCCAGAAUAUGCAAUGCAGGGACAAUUUUCGGUUAAAUCCGAUGUAUACAGUUUCGGGGUUUUAGUCCUUGAAAUCAUAAGUGGCCAAAGGAACAGUAAUUUCUACGAAACAGAAGGCGCUCAGGACCUCAUUAGCUAUGUGAGUAAAAUGCUUUUGGCCUAGUUUGUUCAAAUAUCCUUUAUUAAGAACUUAUAGAAACUUUGAUGAACCAAUGCAGGCAUGGAAGCUAUGGAAGGAUGGGAGAUCCCAGGAAUUGUUGAAUCCUGUUUUGAGGGAUAAUUACUCAAGAAACGAAGUCAUUAGGUGCAUCCAGCUGGGAUUAUUAUGUGUUCAAGAAGAUCCAGCUGACCGACCAACGAUGGCCACCAUUGUUCUCUUGCUCAACAGUUACUCUGUCACACUACCGGUGCCUAAACAGCCAGCAUUUGUGCUUCAGAGUAGAACAGAUGGGAGGAUGCCAGACAAGGGGCUUGAAUCUGAUCAAUCUACAAGUCAAUCAAUGCCAUGGUCUAUCAAUGAGGUAUCUAUUACUGAAUUACACCCCCGAUAAUGUAAGUUAAUGGAUGCAACCCCACCACGUGCAUAUGCUAUGUUCAGGCUUUGUUCAGUUAUUUCCAAAUUGUUCCUGUUCUUUCUAGUUCUUCGCCUGUUAUGUUUUGUGAUAGUCUGAUUUUGAACACACAUUUGUACUUUUAUUAUAAUUGUACUAUAUUUGUAAUAAUGCAACUUUAAAAAAAUGGAUGCAUCAUCAUCAACAUCAAGGUGGAUAGCUAUCUGCCAAUCUCGAAUAAGCCUUUUGUUCUACCAAUUCAUGGAUUCUUUGUUAUAUACCAGAAUUUGUGCCCUUGAUCUCCUGGGCGUCCUCGUACUUCUAAAUAUUCUUUUUCAUUCAAGGAAUCAAAGGUUGAGAUGAUUGUAAGGCUUAAUGCUUUUUUAUACAGUGGAGUUUAGCCGGUAAAAAUCAUCUUCUUUUUUUUCCACAAACUUGAUUGGCAAUUUAUGAGAAAUGCAUUAAUUGGUAACAAAUAAGAUGGUAAACUACUCAGUUAGUCACUAAAUUUUUCGAAUGCUUCAUUUUGGCCACUAAUUUUUUUUUUGUAAUUUUGACAUUCAAUAUUUAAAGCACUUUCAUUUUAGUCACCCAACCAUUGAAUCAUUAACAAUGAUUAACUGUACAUGUCAACAUCUUGUUUACAUUUCAUUUUGAGCACCCAACUUUUAAAAAAAUCUCUUUUUUUGAGUAUUUGUCCGGAUAGAAAAAUUAAUAAAUAAACUGAAAAAAGCAUUAGAAACUAAAACAAUGCAUUAAAAAAUAGUCAUAUUAUACGUGUUUAUCUCAGUUUUGAAAAUUCUUAUUGAAUUUUUUUAAAACAUCAAAAUCAAAUAAAAGAAUUGUUAAAAUAAAUUUAUUCAUUGAUAAUGUCAACCUAUUUAUUACUAUAAUAUUGAAACUAAUUAAUUUAAUCUCCUCCUAAAUUUUAAAUUUCCAUUUUAUGUUUUUAACUUAACCUUUAUUAAAUGAACUCAAAUAAGUUAUAUUUAAUAAUUAUUUAUGAAACUUAACUUUCUUCUGACUAUAUAAUCUUGAAUCUUCCGAGAUAAAUUAAAAGCAAAAAAGAAUCCUUAACUCAUAUUUAAUAAACUAAUUAAUUGUAAAGAUUUUUCAUUGCUUUUAGCUUAGCAUGAGAGAUUCAAGAUCAUAUAAUUAAAAGAAAUUUAAGUUUCAUAAACAAUUAUUAAAAAAUAAGUUAUUUGAUUAGAUUUUAGUUUGGAAACAUAAAAUAAAUUUCUAAAUUUUAGAAGGUUUUAAUUAAUUUAACUAAUUUCAUAUUAUAGUGACAAUUAACAAAUUGACUAACACUAUCAAAGGAUAAGAAUUUUCAACAAAUUGAUUUCGUAGUACCAGUGCCAUUAAACCAUUAUUGUGGAACACAUGGGGUGGAUGUCUUCGUUGGGACGAAGAUGCUAUGAUGGGGCAGAUCCUGCCAUUUAUUCUGACUUGAUAAUAUAGAGCAAUUGAACCCACAUGGUAUUUGGUGACCAACAAUAUCACAUUCCCAAUGAAAGCUUGGGGCACGGAUGGUGGAUGACUCAUAUUUGUCCGAAUGGUCAUUCCAAAAUAGAGGGUGUUGUGGGUGACUUCACGAUUUAUUGGUAGCUUAUUGUUUAGGUUUUUCUUUUUGGGUGAGAUAUGACACACCUAAUCAAACUUGAUUAUUAAAAUAAAUAAUUUAAACUUAAAAAAUAUAAAUCUAAUCUAAUUCAACUCAAAACCAUUUAAACCCAAAUUCAUUCCAACAACUAACUUAAAAUUAUUUAAUUUGAAUCUAUAAUUACUUAUCUAGAAAAAUCUAAAUGAUUUUAAUAUUGUAUCAAACAGAUGAUAUUCAAAUUUAUCUAACCAGAUUAGAUUUCAGGUAGUCUUUAUAUACAUUUCAUGUUGUUCGAAUAUCAAAGUCAAAAUGCAAAAUGCAGUGCCUUCACCAUCCCGGAGCAGCCAUGUAGCCAACUGUCACAUUGAAUAUUAUUUUAUCUCACUUUCCAUCCCAUUCAUUCAUUGUGUACCAACUCUUCUUUCUUGUAGACUAAUAUAAAAGAAAUAUUAUAUUUACUAUGAGUCCCUUUGCUUUGCAAAAAUUUUGGAUUUAGUCCCUAUAAUUUGAUCAUUUUAAUAUUUAUACUUUUCAAAUUGGUUAAUUUUAGUCCCUAUACUUUUUGAAUUUUGAAAUUUUAUUCCUAACCCUAAACAAUAAUAGUUAAAUCCGAUUGGUUAAAUUCAAUUAUUAAUUUUGUACUAUGUGUUCAAUUGUAAAUUGAUUCAUAUUCUCCAAUUAGAUCAUUCUAAGUCUUAUAUUUUUUGAAUUUUCAAAGUUCAAUCUUGAACAAAGUAAUAGUCAAUAAUAUAUUAUAAAUGAACUUUUAGUGAGUAAUACAUGGAAAUAAUAAGCUGACGUAAUAUUACAAUAUAAUAAUAUGUUUGACGCAUCAAAUUUUGAAAGUAGCAUAUAACUUAAUUAAUUUAAUGGCUAUCAUUUGAUGAGGAUUAAAAUUUUAAAUUUUAAAAAGUUUAAAGACUAAAAAUGACCAAAUUAAAGUAUAGGAAUUAACUCUAUAACUUUCAAAAAAUACAAAGACUAAUAGCCGAAUUUAACAAAAAAAAUUCAAUACUCUUAGCAAGGAUCAAAGAAGCUUCUGCAAUUGCAAAAAUCAACCAUAUCAUAAUUUCAUAACAAGAACGCAGAUUUAUAUGUCUGAUCGAUCUUUGUCUUUUGAUCCAAGAUAAAGAAAGGACAUAACUUUAAUUAAAACAAAAAUUAUGCAUCUCUCCACGGUUUCCAUUAACCUGUUGCUGUUAGUAAUGGUACUUUCCGUGCUUAGCUCUACCAGCGAAUCUCAGCACCCUACUUUUCUCUAUCACGACUGUCCUAACACCGAGGCUUUUUUAUAAAAUUAACUUAAAAAAUUUAAUUAAUUAUAUAAAUAACCUAUUUUUUUAAUUAAACACGUAAAUGACUUAAAAUCUACAGUAAAAGUUGAUGGAGCCAAAGAGUUUGGUGCUACCAACAUGCCACGUCAGCAACUAGGAUAAAAAAAAUCAAUUUUUUGGUAGAACCAUGUAAAAUAGCGUUAUCUGUAUAAAUAUCAGGAAAAUAAAAUAAUUUCUAAAAAUAUAGGGACUUUAAAAAUUUUCCCUUUCUUAGUGUAGCCAAAUAAAUUCGCGCCACCCAAUUCCUAAGUGUUGCCCUCCCCUUUUUCCUUUUAAAAUUUUAAAUAUAUUAAGAAAUUUUUCUCUUUUUUUUUACCUAUUAAAAAUAUAUUAAAAUUUUCAAAUUGGUUAUACAUAAAAUAUUUUUAAUACGUUUAAAAUAUUAAUAUAUUUUAAUGUAUUAAGUAUAUUAAAAAAUUAAAAUUGGUUAUACUCAACAUUUUCUUUAACAUAUUUAAAAUUUUAAUAUAUUUAAAAAAUUUUAAGUUUUUUGAAAUUUUAAAUAUAUUAAACUAUCUUUUAUUCUUAACCCAAAUAAUAGUAGUUAAAUAUGUUUUGUUAAAUGCAAUUAUUAAUCUUAUCUUAUAUGUACAAUUGUAGAUUUGGUGUAUAUUCUUUAAUUGUAUCAUUCUAAGUUUUAUACUUUUUAAACUUUGAAAUUUCAAUCUUAACUCAAAUAUAACUUUAUUUUUUAGUGAGUAAUAUAUGGAAAUAAUAAAAUGUUAUGGUGUUACACAAUAUGUUUGACUCCUCAAAUUUUGGAAAUAGUUAACAGUUCGAAGACUAAAAAUGAUCAAAUUAAAGUAUAAAAAUUAAAUUCAUAAUUUUCACAAAGUACAAGGACUAAUAGCAGAAUUUACCAAAAAAAUUAAUGAACUUGACUCAAAAUUUUCAUAGUAAGGAUCAAAGAAGCUUCUGCAAUGGAAGAAAAAUCACCCAUAUCAUAAUUUCAAGACAAGAACCCAGAUUUAUAUGCUUGAUCUCUCUUGUCUUAUGAUCCAAGAUAAAGAAAGCAGAUUACUUUAAUUAGAAUAAAAAUUAUGCAAAUCUCCACAGUUUCCACAAACCUGUUGCUGUUAGUAAUAGUACUUUCCUUGCUUAGCCCUGCAAUUGAAGCUCAGCAGCCUACUUAUCUGUACCACGAUUGUCCAAACACCACCACUUUCACCGUAAACAGCACUUACCAAGCCAACCGCAAUACCGUCUUAUCAUCGCUGUCGUCUAAUAGCACCCGUGGUGAUGGUUUCUACAACACAACCGCAGGUAGGAGCCCUGACAUGGUAUACGGUCUUUUCCUUUGCCGUGGGGAUCUUUCUACCAGCGUCUGCCAAGCGUGUGUCACCUUUGCCACCACCGAUAUUUCCCAACAUUGUCCCAACCAAACAACGGCGGUGGUUUGGUACGACGAGUGCCUCCUACGGUACUCGAAUGGAAAUAUCUUUUCCGUUGUGGCAGGAGGACCUACAUUUAUAUUGCGUAGCAGUCAGAAUGUGACCGAUAACCAAGACCUUUUCAACCAGCAAGUCUUAGCUAUGAUGAACGAUACAGCAAACCAAGCAGCAAACACACCAGAAGGUGCUAAAAAAUUUGCGACUAGAGAGGAAGAUGUUAAUUUUUCAUCAACUUUUGAAGCACUGUAUACCCUUGGUCAGUGUACUCCGGACUUGAUAAGCAUGGAUUGCAAUAGAUGUCUGCGAAUGGUAAUAUCAAGUCUUCCAACUGAAUGGCGAGGCGCAAGAGUGUUGAAUCCUAGCUGUAACGUUAGAUAUGAAACUUACCUGUUCUAUAAUC